This 67144-nucleotide long non-coding RNA is filed under the name Malus domestica (apple). RNAcentral describes it as "long non-coding RNA (MDOM_LNC007408)". The record is from RNAcentral. Lineage: Eukaryota; Viridiplantae; Streptophyta; Magnoliopsida; Rosales; Rosaceae.
UCUCUCUUCUUUCCUCAAUGUUUUGUUCGACCGGAUGGCUUCCCGUCCCUUCCUCGAUUUCAUCUCUGGGAAGAAAAACGACAACGAGCUGCUCAUGAGGAAGUUGAAGAUCAAGUUGCUCGCUGCUAACAAGCUGGUUGACGAUGCGGAGGAGAAGCAGAUGACAGACCGGACCGUGAGGGACUGGCUCGACGAUCUCAAAGAUGCUAUCUACUGUGUAGGAGAGUUGCUGGACGAGAUCAACACUGAAGCUCUUCGACGCCAGCUGGAAGGUGACCAUGACCAUUCUCCCACAGCUAGCAGCAGCACAAGCUGGAUCAUGAGAUCAGUAUUUAAGUCUUCUUUUCCGUCCGAUGAAUUUCACAACUCUCUUGAACCGAAGAUAUCAAACAUUCUGGGGGUGUUAGACCUCAUUCUCAAUGAAAGAGAUGCUCUUGGUCUGAAAGAAGGAGUUCAACAUAGACCACAAGACACAACUCGUCAAACUACUUCUCGGGUCGAUGAGUCUGGCGUCUUCGGAAGGGAAAAAGACAGAGAAACGAUUCUUAAAGCAUUGCGUUCGGAUGAUACGACUGGCGCUAAGAUAGGAGUUCUUCCCAUCGUGGGCAUGGGAGGGAUCGGGAAGUCCACCCUUGCUCAACUUGUGUACAAAGAUGUCAAGGAUGACUUUGAUGUCCAAGCAUGGGUUUUUGUCGGAGUAGAAUUUAGUAUUCUUCAAAUAGCACAAACAAUAUAUGAGAAGAUCAGGGAUGAAACUUGCAAGAUCACAGAUCUGGAUCGGCUUUCUGGAAAAUUGGAGGAGGUUUUGACAGGAAAAAAGUUCCCCUUCGUUCUUGAUGAUGUCUGGAGUGAGGAUCAUCUUCUUUGGAAGAACUUGAUGACUCACUUCAAUAGUUGCGGAGGACAUGGAAGUAAGAUCAUUGUCACAACACGCCUCGGAGGCGUAGCAUCUAUCACCGGGACUCUUUCAGCACAUCAUCUGGAGGAGAUAUCCGAGGACGAUUCUUGGUUGUUAUUUGCAAAGCAAGCGUUCACAAAUGCCAGUGUUGUUGGCGCACAUCCGGAGCUUGAAGUCAUUGGAAGACAAAUUGUUAAGAACUGUCAAGGCCUUCCUUUAGCUAUAAAAUCAUUAGGGGGUCUAUUACUUUCUAAUUCAAACCCAAAGGAAUGGGAAAAGAUAUUGAAGAGUGACUUAUGGAAGUUGUCGAAAGUUAAGGUUUUGCCGGCUUUAUGGUUAAGCUACCAUUAUCUUCCACCACAUCUCAAGCGUUGUUUUGCUUAUUGUUCGAUAUUUCCAAAAGGUUACAGAUUUUGGAAACGAGAGCUGAUUUUAUUUUGGAUGGCCGAAGACCUCUUACAAUCGAACGAGGAGGGCGUAUUGGAUCCGGAAGAAGUGGGAAGUGAUUACUUUGAUAUUCUAUUAUCAAGGUCUUUCUUUCAACAUUCAAGUAACACAUGGGAUUUCACCAUGCAUGACAUUAUGAAUGAUUUAGCAAAGUUUGUAGCCGGAGAAUUUUGUUUGAGAUUGGAGGGAAAUCAGCUGCCCAACAAAAAUUUGUGCAAAACUCGUCACUUUUCAUUCAUGAAAUUUGGAGGUCAUGGCAUUCAGAAAUUUGAGGCGCUGGAUGAGGCUAAGCACUUGCACACCUUUCUACAACUUGAAUCCUUCGAACUUGGAGGAGACUGCAAUAAGUUGGUAUUGAACUACACGCUUGUUGAUUUAUUACCAAAUCUACCAUGUUUAAGAGUGCUCAAGUUGUCAAAUACUCAUAUUGAUGAGUUGCCUAGCUCAAUUGGCAACUUAAAACAAUUAAGGCAUUUGGACGUGUCGUUCACUUCAAUAAGAGAAUUACCUGAGACGGUGUGCACCUUGUUAUUGGUUGGUUGUCGUAGACUGAUUCAACUACCAUCCAAUUUGGGAAGGCUAAUCAACUUGCGCCAUCUCAAUAAUAGUUACACAGAUAUUGAAAAGAUGCCUGCAGGGAUGUGUAAUUUGAAAAAUCUCCAAACAUUAAGCCAUUUUGUGGUGGACAAACAAACAGCUCAAAGGAUAGGAGAGUUAAAAGAGCUUCAGCGUUUGCGCGGAGAUCUUACAAUCUCAGGAGUUGGUAACAUUGACCAUGAGGGGAAUGCUUUGGAGGCAGAUAUCAUGAGCAACAAGGAGUAUCUGGACAAACUUGUUUUGAUAUGGGGAAGAGAUCGACAUGCUCACGAAAAGGAAUUGGGAGUAUAUAUUUUGAGAGAUGGAAGAGGCGAUGAUGAUCAUGAUCCACAAAAUGACAGAGAAGUGCUCAACAAGCUCCAACCUCAUACAAACCUCAAACAACUUGAGAUUAAAUCUUACGGGGGUGUAAGUUUUCCAGGUUGGUUAGGAGAUCCAUCUUUCUCUAAACUAUCUUGUAUUAAACUCGUAGAUUUCCAACAUUGCUGCUUAUUGCCACCACUUGGGCAACUACCCUCCCUCAAACAACUUCAUGUUCUAGGGAUGAAUAACGUGGUUGAGAUUGGUAGCGAGUUUUAUGGUAACGAUACUUGUGGGAUUACUCCAUUUAGAUCUCUACAAAAAUUGUUCUUGGAAGGUAUGUUGGAGUGGGAAAAGUGGUCCUAUUACGAUGGAAGCAGAGGCAACACCACAAUAAUGUUUCCUAAUCUUCGUGAGCUUGGACUGAAAAAUUGUCCCAAGCUGACUGAGAUAUUACCGUUGGAGAAGCUGCAAAGUCUUGAAAGGGUAGAAUUGUGUGGUCUGGAGUCCUUCAGUGGUUCAGUUUCACAUGUGGAAUCUGAAUGCCCUCAAUUCCUUUCCCUCGCUCACUUGAAAAUGGACAAUACCCAAAUUUUGUAUGUUUUCCAGAUGGAGGGAUGGAUGCGCCCAAAUUGAAGGACCUGUACAUCAGUGGCUGCAAGAAAUUAAGGUCGCUGCCAGAACAAAUGCAUACCCUUCUACUGUCUCUUCAGAAAUUGGAAGUGUUCGACUGUCCAGAAGUGGAAUCAUAUUACGAUGGAAGCAGAGGCAACACCACAAUACUGUUUCCUAAUCUUCGUGAGCUUGUACUGAGCAGAUGUCCCAAGCUAACUGAGAUAGUACCGUUGGAGAAGCUGCCAAGGCUUGAAAGCGUACAAUUAAGGGACCUGGAAUCCUUCAAUGGUUCACUUGCACAUGUGGAAUCUGAAUGCCCUAAAUUCCUCUCCCUCGUUCGCUUGAAAAUAGAGAUCUGCCCAAAUUUUGUAUGUUUUCCAGAUGGAGGGAUGGAUGCACCCAAAUUGGAGGAGCUGCGUAUCUCUCAAUGCAAGAAAUUGAGGUCACUGCCAGAACAAAUGCAUAUCCUUCUACCGUCUCUUCAACGUUUGAAAGUAUUCGGCUGUCCAGAAGUGGAAUCAUUUCCUCAAGGAGGGUUGCCCUCAAAUUUACAAGGCCUUUCUUUUGAGUGUUAUAGAAAACUCGCUGCAAACCGCUCACUGUGGGGUUUAACAAGACUCAACUCUCUUAGAAAUUUGGAAAUCAGUUUCACUGAAGAAGGUGGAGAAGAAACGGGAUGUUCGUUUCCGGAAGAGGGUUUGCUGCCCGCCACUCUCACUAGUCUCUCCAUCUGCUUUCAUCCAAAUCUUAGAACCAUCCAAGGCAAGGUUUUGAGACAACUCACCUCUCUUGAACACCUCACAAUACAAGGAUGCCCUGAGCUCCAGGGCUUUCCAGAACAAAUGCAUACCCUUAUACCGUCUCUUCAAAAAUUGAGAGUGUUCGGCUGUCCAGAAGUGGAAUCAUUUCCUCAAGGAGGGUUGCCCUCAAAUUUGCAAGACCUUUCUUUUGAGUGUUGUAGAAAACUCGCUGCAAACCGCUCACUGUGGGGUUUAACAAGACUCAACUCUCUUAGAAGGUUGGACAUCAGUUUCACUGAAGAAGGUGGAGAAGAAAUGGGAUGUUCGUUUCCGGAAGAGGGUUUGCUGCCCGCCACUCUCACUAGUCUCUCCAUCCGCUUUCUUCCAAAUCUUACAACCAUCCAAGGCAAGGUUUUGAGACAACUCACCUCUCUUGAAGACCUCACAAUACGACGGUGCCCGGAGCUCCAGGGCUUUCCAGAAGAAGCGCCCAAAUCUCUGAAAAGCUUGACUAUUUGGGAGUGCCCUAAUAUCGGGUGCUUGCCGGGAGAAUGGCUUCCCACAUCUCUUUCACUACUGCAAAUCUGGACGUGUCCGCUGUUAGAAGAACGAUUCCGAAGAGAGACAGGGGAAGAUUGGCCAAAGAUUUCUCACAUCCUCCAUAAAUAUAUACAUUAGAUGUCCUUGAGAUUAGUACUUGCCGAACUCUCUCUCUCUCAAUCAGGUGUGUGUGUCUAUAUGUAUAUAUACAAAUCAUUUGAAUGACCCAAAACACUUUAGUUGGGUACUUUUCUGAUAGUUAUUUUUUUACUGCUAUGUUUUUUAGUAUGUUUGGUUAGUACUCCAGCUCCAGGCUCAUUAUCAUUGUAUGUAAGCUGUCUCGAUCCAUCCGAUUUGUGUGGUCAGUUUAAUCAAGAGAGCUUUAAUGAAAAGAAUUUAAACUAAGUUUAAAUUAAUCAAAAAUCAUCUUAAAUUAUUUUUUAACUAAAAAGCUUCAUAUUUAAUAGGAAGGACAAACUAAUUUAUAUUAGGUCCUACAAACAGUAAAAGACAUUGGCUGAAUUAAAAAGCCGAACAUGCAAUUUUUUUUUUUUUACAGCCAUGCCCAUGACCGAAACUUCAUUCUGCCAGCCCAAUUCCGUUAGAAAUAAAUUUUUCUUUAUUUACAGGUAUGUCACUACCUCAUUAAAACCUAAAUAUCAUAUGAAAAUGAAAAUUUUAAAAGUUUCCAUGAAUUCUCCCAUCAGGACGUCCCUGAUCGUAGCAUUGAGUGAUUUGACUCUUAAAUAAAUACAAAAAUAAGCUAUUAUCAUCAAUGUUACCUAUUUUUAAUGUUUUAAAUAGGAAUGCAUCUUAAUAAUCAAGCAGCGUGAAUAAAAUCAAAUUAAUCUUAUAGUUCGACUACAAAACAAAACCAGCACAUGAAAUUAAAAUUACAUAGUAGCAAUAUCCCAUACAAGUGGCCUUGUUAUUUUUUUAUUUUUUUUUUAUACAAAUCAAUUUGGAAAUCUUAUUAUUUUCAUUCUCAUCCUACAAUGUUGCACGAUGAUUUGAACUGUUUAUCUUUAGGCCAUCAUUUAAAAACCAUCUCUACAAAAAGCUAAAUGCAUUCAAAAGUUUUUGCUCAUGUAACGAUUAUUCAAUAAUUCUUUUGAACACUGAAAUUAUGACAAUAUUAUUCUAAAAUGGUUUGACGAUAUCUUGUUUGGUUCUUUUGUUGCAAAUAAUACUAGAUAGGGAAGUUUUUUUUGGUAAAAGAAAUAAAGGAAAUAAAAUAGCUGGCAUGACAUCAUACUCACCAAUCACGAUGUAUACGUUCCAUACAUGUGGGGGUCUUGGCCUCUCAUUUUUUCUCUCCCUCACUUACUUACAAAUACAUGAAUGCCCAAAUUUUGUAUGUUUUCCAGAUGGAGGGAUGGAUGCGCCCAAAUUGGAGGAGCUGCUUAUCUCUCGAUGGAAGAAAUUGAGGUCGUUGCCAGAACAAAUGCAUACCCUUCUACUGUCGCUGUCAAUCGUCUCUCCAUCUACAAUCUUCCGAAUCUUACAACCAUCCAAGGCAAGGUGUUGAGACAACUCACCUCUCUUGAAAACCUCAUAAUAGACGGAUGCCCUGAGCUCCAGUGCUUUCUUGAAGAAGCCCCCAAGUCUCUAAAAGGCUUGACUAUUACGAGAUGCCCUAAACUCGGGUGCUUGCCAGGAGAAUGGCUUCCCACGUCUCUUUCUUAUCUGCAAAUCCAUUUGUGUCCUCUGCUAGAACAACGAUUCCAGAGAGACGGGGGAAGAUUGGCCCAAGGUUGCUCACAUCCCCGCGUGUAUAUAUUAUAGAUCUUCUUGAACUUGGCUCUCUCUGUCUCUCUCAGGUGUAUGUGUAUAUCCCUUGUUGUUUUGCCACAAACUCUUCCUAAUGCAACAACAUAGGGGGGAGCUGGUAUAGCCCUUGUUGUUUUGCGAUGGAGUAGUACUAUGUACAUGAUUACUAGGCUAAAACAAGUGCAAAUUUGAUUUCGUUAAUUUGUCUAUUCGACUAUAUAACCUUGCUCAUUGUCAUUGUAUGUAUCAUGCUGUCUCGAUCCAGCCGAUUUCAUUUCAUGUUUGAUAGGGCCAUCAAGUUCAGCUCCUCCUAAUACCAUUAAGUUCGUCACUGUUUGGUUAAUGUCUGGCACCGUGAAGAACAAAAGUGAAGAGUUUCCAUUCUGCAUUACAUGAUCCCUGUCAAACUUUAAUCAUUAGCAGAUCCCAAUUUCAUUCAAAGCACAAAGCUUAAAUCCAACUACUACUAAAAUAAAACCACAUUACCAAAAACUAGAAGGAAUCAUAAAACCGAAAAAACCCAAGAAAUUCGAAGUUUUACGCUUUCAAUUUACGAAAAACAAGAACAAGCAGUAUAAUUUGUCGUGUCUAAAAAUCUGGUUUAGACAAAUCAUCAAACACCUGGUGUACAUCGAGCACCCAGUCUCAGAGAAAGGAGAAAGACAUAGUUUACUUGGGGGAUUGCAUGAGGGAAAGCUUGAGUGAGCCGAACCGUAGAUUCGCCCAUCGAAUAGUGCAGACAUUAACGGUGAAGUCCAACCCUUCCGCAUUGAACCGGGAGGCUUUUGGCACGUCCUUGUGCAGCUGCAGUAGCCACCUAAACGACUCCGCUGCCAUUUUUUCCCUUGCUUUCUAGGCUGUGUACUUCUGAGUAUGUAAAUGGGUCACCCGAACCUAAUCCGAACCUAAUCCGUUAAUCUAACGGGUCAUCCAAAUCCGACCCGUUAAGCUAACGGGUCACCUGUUUCAUCCGUUAACAGUUAUUAUUAUUAUUUUUUUUCAUAGAGUUUAUAUUUUGUUGUUAAGAUUUUAUUGAAAUUACUAAAACAUCCUCAAUUAACAGGUGCUAACGGGUUGACCCAAAGUGACCCGUUAUUUAACAGGUUCACCCGUUAACGACCCGACCCGUUAAGCAUCCACCCAAAUACUAAUAUUAACGGGUCAGAUCGGGUUAACGGGUCGGAUCCAAAAUGUCAGGUCUACUUCUGACUGAAGGAAACUGACUCACUGGUUGUCGUUUCAACCGUGAGUCGUGACUGAUAUUAGACGACAUGUCGUUUUGAGGGUCUCAAAGUUAAAUUGGGGGAUUAUCUUAUGAUGCAUGGACCCGGAUAUAUAUACUCAGCUUAUAUCGGUCCCACCUCUAAACUUUGGUGAUAAUUAUUGUUAUACAGAAAAAUUUCUUAUUUGGACGUAAAUAUUAAAGGGAGUUUUAACGAAAAGCUCAUGAUACUGUUCAUUUUAACGAAAAACCACAUUUUUACACUAAAAAGUCAAACCUGCUACUAUUCACUUUACCCUUUAUUUUGUCCUUAUCGUUAAAACUCAAAUUUUUCAAGUCAUUUUUGUUAGUUUUCCUAAUAUUAAAAUUUCAUUAGAGGUUGUCAUUCAAUUGUUACAUUUUAGGAUGAAAGUUGCGCUUUAGCUUUACUUGACUCCUGUUUUCAUAAUUUUUUUUCUUUUUCAAUUUUUGACCUAAUCUUAGACAUGAUUGCUUCUUUUAGAGUAUCAAGAGAUUCUACAAGCUUAAGCUUUAUGAUUGAACUCUCACAGUGUUGGUGAUGUCCAACCUUCUAAGAGAGUUGAGUCUUGUUAAACCCCACAGUGGGCGGUUUGCAAUGAGUUUUCUACAACACUCAAGACAUUGGACAGCCGAAUACUCCUAAUUCCCUCGUUCACUUGGGAAUAGACAACUGCCCAAAUUUUUUAUGUUUUCCAGAUGGAGGGAUGGAUGCGCCCAAAUUGGAGGAGCUGCUUAUCUCUUGAUGCAAGAAGUUGAGGUCGUUGCCAGAACAAAUGCAUACCCUUCUACAGUCUCUUCAGAAAUUAGGAGUAUUCGGCUGUCCGGAAGUGGAAUCAUUUCCUCAUGGAGGGUUGCCGUCAAAUUUACGAGUCCUUCGUCUUGAGUGUUGUAGAAAACUCGCUGCAAACCGCCCACUGUGGGGUUUAACAAGACUCAACUCUCUUAGAAGGUUGGACAUCAGAUUCAGUGAAGAAGAUGGAGAAGAAAUGGGAUGUUCGUUUCUGGAAGAAGGUUUGUUGCCCGCCACUCUCACUAGUCUCUCCAUCAGCUUUCAUCCAAAUCUUACAACCAUCCAAGGCAAGGUUUUGAGACAACUCACCUCUCUUGAACACCUCACAAUAAAAGGAUGCCCGGAGCUCCAAGGCUUUCCAGAAGAAGCACCCAAAUCUCUGAAAAGCUUGACUAUUUCGGAUUGCCCUAAUAUCGGGUGCUUGCCAGGAGAAUGGCUUCCCACAUCUCUUUCUCGACUGGAAAUCCGAAGGUGUCCGCUGUUAAAAGAACGAUUCCGGGAAGAUUGGCCCAAGAUUUCUCACAUCCCCAAAAUAUAUAUCAGCAUGAAUGUUCGCGUCAUCCCAAAACACUUUAGUUGGAUACGUUUCUGAUGGUUAUUUUUUAGGAAAAUUAAUGAAAAGGGUUUGAAAACUUUGAGUUUUAAUGAUAAGGACAAAAUAAAGGGUAAAGUGAAUAGUACCAGGAUUGACUUUUUAGUGUAAAAAUGUGAUUUUUCGUUAAAAUAAACAGUACCGGGAGUUUUUCGUUAAAGUUUCCUAUUUUUUUUAGUAUGUUUGGUUAGUACUCCAGCUCCAGGCUCAUUAUCUUUGUAUGCAAGUUGUCUCGAUCGAUUCGAUUUGUGUUGCCAGUUUAAUUAAAUGAGCUUUAAUAAAAAAAGUUUUGACUAAAUUUAAUUUAAUCAAAAACCAUUAUAAAUUAAGGAAAACUCAUGAAAAGGGCUUGAAAACUUUGGAUUUUAACCAAAAACCAUGUUACAACUUUAUUUAAUGGUUAAUACAAAGCCCAAUACUAAAGCAAUCCAACUACAAUGGCCCAACCAAAAUAAUAUCAUUACUUGUCGAUUUUGCCCCUAACGUUUUAGGUUAAGUCAGUUUUGUUUUAUUCUGUCAGUUUACUUUUGCCCUUUUCAGAAAGCUGAAAAAGUCACGAUUCUUUAUAUUCACCCCCAACAACUCAUAAAUCCCACGAGCUCCCUCUCGCGCUCCCCCAUUCUCUCUUUCACUUUCUCUCUCUAACUUUGUAUCUGCAACUCCAUUUCGAUUUUUCAAGUUGAUGAUGGGAAACUGAUUUAGUGCGCAAAUAAAGAGAGGAGAGAGAAGAACACACAUAAAUUCUGGGUUUUAUUCAUCUGUCAUUUGAUUUUCUAAUCCCGGAUUGCUUCUCGUUUGCUUCCAAAUCCUGAAUUAUUUCUUGAAGUCAAUGAGGGUGUUGAAUUUUAUUAGUCCGAGGUUGGUGAGUCAUCACAGAAGAGGGUUUGUAUUUCAAUUCGGAAGGAGGGAGGUUGAUUCGGUGGAACUGGAUUUGUCAAAGUGGGUGAUUGGGGGCUCCGCCGAUGGAUUCGCAAUGGCAACAGAAACUGAUUCGCUGGCAAGGUGAUGUGGAGUUAAAGGGCACUCAAUGCACUAAAACUGAUGUGGGUUUACAAUGUUAGCAUGUAAAACUCUUAACAAAUUCUGCUAAAGUUAUUCUUGUGACUCUCUCAAACUCGCAUCUCGGUGGGUUUACAAGGGGUGGGCUAGGUUCAAUUUGGUCUGGGUUGUGGGCGACCAAAACUGAUGUGGGUAUUUUUGUAUGCGUAAAUGGAGAGAGAAGCUUAGUUUGUGUGGAAAAACAAAUUAAAGGAAAGUCAAAAAAAUUGAUUGAGAGAAAUGUCAAAUAACAAACACGAAUAUGAUAGUUCUAGUUACGAAAUAGUGAUAGUAUUAGUGUUCGGUUUUAAAAAUAGUCAGUGUUUAGUUUACGAACUAGUGAUAGUACUAGUGUUCUAUUUGAGAAAUAAUCAGUGUUUAGUUUACAAAACAGUGAUAGUACUAGUGUUCGUUUGAUAAAUAGUCAGUGCUUAGUUUACGCAAUAGUGACAGUACUUGUGUUCAGUUUAUGAAAUAGUGAUAGUACUAAUGUUCGGUUUAAGAUAUAGUCAGUGUUUAAUUUGAGAAAUAGUGUUCAUUUUAAGAAGUAGUCAAUGUUCAGUUAAGAAAUAGUGAUGGUACUAGUGUUCCGUUUGAGAAAUAAUCAGUGUUUAGUUUACGAAACAGUGAUAGUACUAGUGUUCCGUUUAAUAAAUAGUCAGUGUUUAGUUUACGAAACAGUGAUAGAACUAGUGUUUGUUUGAGAAAUAGUCAAUGUUUAGUUUACGAAACAGUGAUAGUACUAGUAUUCCGUUUAAAAAAUAGUCAGUGUUUAGUUUAUGAAACAGUGAUAUUACUAGUGUUUCGUUUAAGAAAUAAUCAGUGUUUGGUUUACGAAAUAAUGAUAGUACUAGUGUUCGUUUGAUAAAUAGUCAGUGUUUAAUUUUCGAAAUAGUGACAAUACUUGUGUUCAGUUUAUGAAAUAGUGAUAGUACUAAUGUUCAGUUUAAGAUAUAGUCAGUGUUUAAUUUAAGAAAUAAUGUUCAUUUUAAGAAGUAGUCAAUGUUCAGGUAAGAAAUAGUUAUAGUACUAGUGUUCCGUUUGAGAAAUAAUCAGUGUUUAGUUUACGAAACAGUCAUAGUACUAGUGUUCAAUUUAAUAAAUAGUCAGUGUUUAGUUUAUGAAACAGUGAUAGUACUAGUGUUCGUUUGAUAAAUAGUCAAUGUUUAGUUUACGAAAUAGUGAUAGUACUAGUGUUCCGUUUGAUAAAUAGUUAGUGUUUAGUUUACGAAAUAGUGACAGUACUAGUGUUCGUUUGAUAAAUAGUCAGUGUUUAGUUUACGAAAUAGUAACAAUACUUGUGUUUAGUUUAUGAAAUUAGAGGCCAAUACAAACCUUGUAUAAUCUAUUUAUGAAACAGAACACGGGUACUAUUUAUGAAACUGAACACGAUUACUAUUUAUGAAAUAGGACACGGAAACUAUUUAUGAAACUAAUCAAGGGUACUAAUUAUGAAAUUGAACACGGGUACUAUUUAUGAAACAGAACAUGAAAACUAUUUAUGAAACUGAACACGGGUAUUAUUUACGAAACAGAACACGAAAACUAUUUAUGAAACUGAACACGGGUACUAUUUAUGAAAUUGAACACGAUUACUAUUUAUGAAACUGAACACGGAAACUAUUAUGAAACUGAACACAAAAAUUAUUUAUGAAACUAAACACGAGUACUAUUUAUGAAACUAAACACAUAUACUAUUUAUAAAACUAAACACGAGUACUAUUUAUGAAACUUCAAAUAUACCAAAUACAACAAUGUACCAUUUUUUUCAUUCGUGAGAAUAAAGUAGAAACAUACAACAUGUUGAGUAAAUCAAGAAAGCAUAUGCCACCACCAAACUUAUAUUAAAAAUCGUAACUUUUAAUUUGAACACAUCACAAUUUCCAACACAAUAAUCCAAAAUUAACUAAACUAAUCAGUCAAGUAGAAAUCAGGAGUGCAGAUCUUCUGCACCGAAAAUUAUAUGUGGCCUCUCAUUGGCUUCCCUCAAAAUUUACACUUGUCCCUCAAUUGAUUCAAUAUAACAUUGUUAACUAUCCAAAUAAAAACUCUGAAAAAAAAAAGAAAAGAAAGGAAAAUAGCAGCCCAUUACCCAGUCUUCACCUACCAACGCCACUAGCGCACAAUCCAUCAUCAACCCCACCGCGUCCAAAAUUGCAAAACCAAAAAACAAGGGGAUUUUUUUCGAGUGAGGAAGGUGAAAGGUCUGCGACUCUCUGUCCGAGAAAAAAACAACAAGGGGCAUUGAUUCCAUCUGCAUCAAAGUAAUUUUUUUGUCCUUAUGGGAGGAAAAGAAAAGAAAAAGAUAGGAAGUUUUAUUUGAUCGAGGGGAUGGCUGAAAAGGGGAAUCAGUUUCUGUUGCCAUUGCGAAUCCAUCGGCGGAGCCCCCAAUCACCCACUUUGACAAAUCCAUUUCCACCGAAUCAACCUCCCUCCCUCCAAAUUGAAAUACAAACCCUCUCAUGUGAUGACGCACCAACCUCGGACUAAUCAAAUUCAACACCCCCGUUGACCUCAAGAAAUGAUUCAGGAUUGAAGUUUAAUUCUAACAGAUUGGUUGACAGAAUGCGAUUUCUGUUAGGGGCAGGGGCUGGAAAAAAAAAUAUUCUGUUUUGGGUUUUUAAUUCAUCCCAUGUGGGUUUAAUGGUUGUGGGCCUAAAAUAGAUUAGUUUUGUCCUUAUAAUUAAAUAUAAAGCCCUUUUGAUUAAAUAAUAGUAUAUGGUGGUUUUUGGUUAAAUUAAACUUUGUUCAAACCAUUUUCAUUAAAGCUCCCUAUAAAUUAUUAUUUAACUGAAAAAACUUCAUAUUUAAUUAUAAGAACAAACAAACUUAUAUUAGGUCCUGCAAACAGUAACAGACAUGGACUGAAUUAAAAAGCCCAACAUGCAAUAUCUUUUUUUCCAGCCAUGCCCCUGACAGAAAUGUCAUUCUGUCAGCCCAAUUCCAUUAGAAAUAAAUUUUCCUUUUUUUACAAGUAUGUCACCACCUCCCAAAGCCCAAAUAUUAUAUGAAAAUGAAAAUUUUGAAAGUUUCCAUGAAUUCUCCUAUCAGAACGUCCCUAAUUGUAGCCUAAGUGAUUUGACUCUUAAAUAAAUAAAAAAAUAAGCUAUUAUCAUCAAUGUUACUUAUUAUUCAUGUUUGGGCGAAGUGCUGAUUUAGUCCCUGAACUAUCACCUCAGUGAAAAUUAGGUCCCUGAAUUAUUUUUUUCGGUAAAAUAAGUUCCUAAAUGCAUUAGAAAUUGCUAAUUUCAUUCAUACUAUUAUAUUCAUGAGAGCUUUAAUGAAAAGUGACACACCCCGAUCCGGAGGAUCCAGGUGUGCUGGCCGUCACGUGGGCGUGACGUAACCAUAGGCACGACACGGAAGCGGAAUAACAACAUCAAUCAACAGAAGUUCAAACCAAACUCAAACAUAACCAUCUACGGACAUAACCGGACGAGUUAUAAGGUAAACACAUAAGUUCAGAGCAUAGGUUAACUGCAGUCAAGUAGGACUAAAAUAAAAUACAUCACCCUCAGGUGAGUCCUACAUGUCGAAAGUCUGUUAGAAAGCCGGAAAAGACCUCGAGAGUCACCAGCCGCUAAAUUAGAACCUGGAGGGGCGCAAAACAAAAUGAGUGGGUCAGUAAAAACCAAAGAUUUUCCAAAACAUUUCAAUUAAAACAUUUCUAACCCCUCACCGUAAAACCUGUAUACAUUCCCAGAAAAUAUAUAUAACCAUAUGAAAUCUCAAAACUUAAAUCUCAAACCUUUAACAUUUUUCAAGAAAACAUGCCAUGCCAUAAAUCAAAAUAUAAAUCAGGUGAAAUAAGGAAUCAAUCGGAGACCAUGCAGUUGGUCCUAUACGAUUAAUUCAAUAGCUCAAUAUCCCACUAAGCCGGAGUCACCACAGUGACCUGUACGGCCCUACUCUGCACAUCACUCGGAACUACGUAAGGUAGUCUAUACGAUGAAAGGUGUAAAAAUACGCUUUAGUGCUUCACUCAUCAUAUCAUCAGUGCGCAUAACUAAGGUCACCCACUAGUCGGAAUCACGCCUAGUGAUCUAUACGACUAGCAUGUCGGAACCCUCACAUGGUCUGUACGACAUCCACCUACUUGGAUCCGAGGCGAGCGUGCGGUGUGGUGAAUAAUAUAAGCACUAACACCUAGGGUGCAUGUUAUGAGCUCAAAACAUCUCAACAACAACAAUUCAAUGAAUAAAUGAACUCACCUGACUUACCUGUGCCUCCACAGCACCAUGCAACAUGUAUGCAUCAUAUAUCAAUCAUAUAUCUCAUGUGAAAUUCAUAUUCAUCAAAUAAUCCUAUGCAUGGCAUUUUAAAACAUAUUUUCAUAUAAAUUCAUUUUUCUGGGAAAAAUCGAUAGUAUAAAGGUAAUACGAAAGCAAAACUGCCCAUUCACUGAUAAGUCGACGGGUCGUAACCCCCGUGGCGUCCCUGGAUGCGGUCGUCCUCGGGAUACGUCUCACCUAUAUGCGAAACAACUAAAAUGACAUUAUUUAAAGCACAUCACCAACGUUUCGUAAUAAUUUCUCAUACGAUACUCAAUCUUGACAAAUGAAUACACCAACGCGAUCUACACAACCUCACGAGCAUCGCAAAAUUUUUAAAAUAAUUUUUUGAAGCCUCACGCGCCCCCACGCGCCAAAACAGGCACGGGUCUACGCGCCCCCACGCGCAGCCACGUGCGAGUCAUGCGGACGGCGUCAGUUGACGCCGUCAGGAAUAUUCCCGGAAUAUUUCGUCAGAACUAACGGUUACCGUUACUGCCGUUAGGAAUAUUCCGUUAAAACUAACGGAAUAUUCCUCCUUCUUCUCCGACCUACCCUCGCCGGACUCUGGUCACCGGAAAACUGGGAAAAUUUUCUAACUAGCUAUUCUCACUCAUUUUUCGUCCAUUUUUCUCGUACUUUACACCAAAAUGAAGCCCUAAAUGAGUACUAUCACGAUGGACUAAUUUUAAACACCAAAAAGCACGGGAUCAUACCUUCCAAAAAUCCAAGAAAAUCGGCCAAACUCGAACUAGGUGAUCUCGACGUCCAAUUCUUCCAAAUGAAGCACUCCGAGCUUCCUUAGGACUUCACCAAGCUUCCUACAAGCUUCAAAAUCCCAAAAACUUAAAGAUUUAUGUGUGCAUGAACAGUGCACCACCACGGGGACUUUGAAAUCUAGGGUUUUCGAAGGAAACAUUACCUGAAAGUGGUGUCAGUGCAUUCGUGAAGUCUUCAGGAGUCCAUUGGUGUCCUCAAGAUCGUCGAUCCACAAAGUUUGGAAGGGUUUUGGGAUCUGUCCGUACAAUUUGGAGAGGAAGAGAGACUAAGAGGGAGAGAUCGUGAGGGAAGAGAGAGAGAGGGAAGACACGGGGAAGGAGAAGGAGAGAGAUCUUUUUGUGGUCCACACCAAUCCACCCAUACAUUUCAUCCUAACCAUACAUAAAAAUCCAUCUUUCAAAAUAUUUUCUAAUACCCUUGCAUAAUAUUUGAACAAAUAAAGUCUCACACACACGUACCUUAACAACGUCAAGGGCAAUCUCGUCAUUUCAUAUUCCCGUCAAAAGUACUUCUGGGACGGGCUGUGACAAAAAGGGCUUGAGUUAAGUUUACUUUAACAAAAAAUCAUCCUAUACUAUUAUUUAACCAAAACGGCUUUAUAUUUUAUGAUAAGAACAAAACUAUUAUAUAUCAGGCCCUAUAAACCUUGAAUACACAUGGGCUGAAUUAAAAGCCCAAAACGAAAUACUUUUUUUUUUUCCAGCUCUUACCCCUAACGGAACCCCACUCCGUCAGCCACUCCAAUUAGAAAUAGACUUUCCUUUUUUACAAGUAUGCCACUUCCUCAUUAAAAAACAAAAUAUUGAAAUAAAAAACCCCAAUAAUUUAUACGAUCACAAAUCUCAUCUUGAAUUUUGUUCGUUCUUGCUUCGUUAAUUUUAAAUCGGAGGGAAAAAUGUUAGGACCUGUUUGGUUGCUCAGAAAAUUUCACUGAGAUUCUGUUUUCUGUUUAGAGUUUGAAACUUGCAGAGUUAAUUUCAAUGGAGGAAGCUCAGAAUGGAGCCCUCAUUUUUGCGUUUUAUUAUGCUGAUUUGAGUUCCGAAAGACUGAAAAUCCCAAAAAGAUUCAUGAGAAAAAUGGAAGGCAGAAUAACUGGGUUGGUUUUUUUGUUCGACCUUAGCGGCAGUGCGUGGAGGAUUGAAUUGAUUCAACAGAAUGGUGGUUUUUUCUUGCAUCAUGGGUGUAGUGGCUAAGCCAGAAUUUGUCGAGGGGAGGGGCGAAAUUCAAAAGAAUGCAAGGUUUCAAUUGAAGCGGUUGCUUUUAUAUUGGACAGUGCAAAGUUUUAAGUCAAUAUUCAUAACAAAAAACAGUCUCUUCACCACAACGGUUGUAAGCGGUAAUAUCAAAGCUAUGUAAGAAGCUUAAAUUGGUUAGGAUUAGAUUCUAAGAAAAUAUUAGGCGCUAUGGACUGAGACCUAGCAGCUAGGCGCCUAGACAUGAUUUAAGUAGGAGCCUAGAUGGAUUUAAAUAUAUUUUUUAUAUCGUAAAAUAAGUAUUAAACAAUAUUUAUAUUAUUUUUUAAAAAUUAGUACAAUAUUUAUAGAUAAUAUGAAAGUUUAAGAUAAAUAUGCUAUGGGUCUUAAAUAAAUAAUGUGAGAGUUAAACAUAACUUUGUUAACUUUUAAUAAGUUAACAAAUAAAUAAUAAAAAGUAAAUUAAAACCAGGGGUAGAAUCCCCUCAGUUCUUGCAAAACACAAAACAAUUGACCCCAAAUCAUAAUGAAAGAUCAAAUUCCAAAUUUCCAUCCCAAUUUUCCCUAGAAACAAACUGAAAAUUCUCUUUCUAGGAAGUAGAAGAAGCCGAAAAGAAAAGCAUCGCCGCUUGUCAGCGGUGGGUGAGGUGGUGUCUCUGCUUGAUUUCAACAUUAGUUCGGGUCUUUCUUCACAAAGCUUCGAGCCACCAUUUCCAUGGCCGGUGACAAAAUCUAUCGCAUAUGGAUUCUUCUUGUCCGUCAAUGGCGAACCCGCCUGUAGGCAGAUGACAUCUUCAAUGAUUUUUCUUCGAACCCAGGUGCGCCCACAUCCUGCCCCAUUUCCGUCAAACAAAUAAAGAAGGAGACAUGAAUGAGACACCACUUUCGGGACAGCAGCCCCGGAGCCGUAGUCAGUACUACUAUGUUGAUAACCAAACACCUCAUUUCUCCUACCACUACCCCUGCCAUGGCAAAUCUGCAAACUCGAAGUCGAAGCCCUUCAUCGAUCCCAUCGCAACCUACUCCCAAAAAAAAAAUUGCAUAUCUGCUGCUGCUGUGCGCAGUAGAACAGAUCACCCAACAACACAAACAGAGGAUGAACAGUGGGUUUUUCAAAGAGGAGGGGAGUGGCGAACCCAGCUCUGCAGUGGUGUUUCCCGGCGAAGCCGCCACUCCUCACCCUCACGUGGCUUUGCCACUGCAUGGGUGGUUAACAUUUGUGAUAGACCAUUACGUAGAAUGCUGGGACUUCUUGAUUUUUAGAUACGACGGUGAUUUGCGUUUCACCGUGCUAAUCUCUUAUAAAAGUUUGUGUGAGAAAGAAGCUGCAUUUCGUUUUGGAUAUAGCCAAGCCUCUAGCAACUUUGAAAAGUAUGUGUAUAUGGAACGAAAAAGGGGAAGGGAGGAGGCCGCAUCUUCUGGCAAUAAGCUGGUUGAUGGUGCGACGAAGAAGAUGAGAAAUGGCUUGUCUCAGUUCCACUCAGAAUGCAUCGAUGAGGGCUGAGAAGAAGCAACUUGUUCCAAGGAAGAAAAUCCACAUGAAAAUCCCUGGCUUGGAUGUUGUACUAAGAAAAGUCUGGUUUGGAUGUUGUUCUAUAUAUAUAAAGCAAAGUUUCAAAGAAAUGAGACCAUAAUAAAAAUCUUGUUGAGUAGCACCCACCAUUAACAUUCCAUCCUGCGCCACAAUGCUGGCAAACACUAGUAGUACUAGUGCAUUGUUAUUUGUUAUAGUACCUGUGAGCCAUUCAUCCAAAUUUCCUUAAACGUGCUUGUUACUUGUUUGAUUUUAUAUAUACAGCAUCAGCAUAGCACACAUAACUAAGAUGACUUGUCGUGAGGGUGGUGGGUUAGGAUUAGCUAAUUUGGUAAUCCAACUUCUGGUUGCCUAAUUGACUAAUAGUCUAAUUAUAAUUAAAGUCAUUGUCGUAAUUGCGUUCAAUGUUACUUAUUAGGAUGAGUUAUUUUGGUUCUGUUAAAAAAUAGUUAGUCAGUUUAAUAAAUAGUGUAGUACAUGUGUCAGUUUCAUAAAUAGUUUAAUAAAUAGUGUAGUACCCGUGUCAGUUUCAUAAAUAGUCAGCCAGUUUAAUAAAAAUAGUGAGUGACAAUGUCAGUUUCAUAAAUAGUGUAGUACAUGUGUCAGUUUCAUAAAUAGUCAAUCAGUUUAAUAAAUAAUGUUGUACCUAUAUCAAUUUCAUAAAUAGUCAGUCAGUUUAAUAAAUAGUGUAGUACCCAAUGUCAAUUUCAUAAAUAGUGAGCUUAAUAAAUAGUGUAGUACAUGUGUUAGUUUCAUAAAUAAUCAAUCAGUUUAAUAAAUAGUGUAGUACCCAUGUCAAUUUCAUAAAUAGUGAGUUUAACAAAUAGUGUAGUACUUGCAUUAGUUUCAUAAAUAAUCAAUUUAAGAAAUAGUUAGUGUUCAGUUUAAGAAAUAGUGAUAUUAUUAGUAAUCAGUUUAAGAUAGAGUGAUAGUAUCUGUGUUUAGUUUUCAAAAAUAGUUAGUAUUCAGUUUAAGAAAUAUUGUAGUAUUCGUAUUUAAUUUCAGAAAUAGUCUGUUUAAGAAAUAGUGUAGUAUCAAUUUUUAGUUUCAGAAAUAGUACAUGUGUCCAGUUUCAGAUAUAACCAUUAAAAAAAAAGAGUUUAAUAAAAAAAGUUUGGACUAAGUUAAUUUUAACCAAAAAAACAUCCUAUAAUCUUCUUUAAUAUAAGAAGCUUGAAAUUUAAUAAACAUGACAAAAUACAAUAUAACAAAAACUAAAACUAAAGCCUCAUAGGUAGUAAAUAAGCCCACAUGCAAAACCAAAUUUUUUUAUUCCAACCAAUACCCCUGAUGGAAACUCCAUUCCGUUAGUCCAAUUCCAUCAGAAAAUUGAUUUUUCCCAGGUUUGAACUGAAUGAAAGGUUUGUCGGGGCCACACUUCCAUUAAAUAUUAGUUUGGUUGCGUCGUGUCUGCAUGUCCAUGAGUUUUAGCCUCCAACUCUCCUUUCUCAGUAUCUUAGCCACUAAGAUGUGUCACAUGCCCCACUGCCUUCUCUAAUCUUAAAAAUUAGAACCUUCAUCCCCAAUUAUUACUCCGUUGUUAUUAUUUUAAUUAUUAAUUUAUUAGCACUAUAAUUAGGCAUAUAUAUGUAAGUAUAUCCACCACAAAAUAGCAUAUUAAAUUUCAAGUACAUCAAUCUUUCCCAUUUCUUAAAGACACCAUAGAAAGCAAUAGCAACUUCACUCAUUUUUUCUUCUUACUCAACAUUCUUUCAUUUAACCCGAUUUCCGACACAACCUGAAAAAGAAAUCGAAACCGUGAGAGAAAAGUGUAUGGCAUGUACCGCAGGUUUAUUGUCAUGUAUUUUUGAGCACGGCACAAAUUGCUUCUCUCUGCAUCUCCUCUCUUUAGUGUCUGAUUUUGGUUUGAAUGCAUGUGAUGUUCCUCAUCCUAUAUGCUAUCUUUUACUAAUUAAAUUUAGAGCCCAGUCAACAUCUUCCUCAUUUGUUUGCCAUAUCCAUAUACUCUUUCACUUGCAAAACAUUAAUCAUAUAUAAUUAAAAUUGAAUUGAUUAAAUCUCGAUUGGUCUCAACUUCCAAGGAAAAUAGAGGAACUAAAAUGAGAAAGAAGGAUUGCUUAUUUACUAAUUUAUAAAUUAGUAAGAAAUUAGAGGAAUUGAAUUAAGAAGGAUUUAGCCUGAGGAAGAUUCAAAAUCAAAAUCAUGUUAAAUGCUUAUUGAAAUAUUUAUAGAAUCAAGGUAAGAUUAAUAUAAAUUUCAUAUAAACUAUUUAUAAGUUAAACACACACACUCUCUCUCCCUCACUAUUUUUAAAAUGAUUAUUUAAAAAAAAUGAACACGGGUACUACAGUUGUGAAAUCUCGUUUCUGGAUUUCAUUAUUAUAAUUUACGUAUUGGUAUUAUAGAGAUUUUAUAUUAUUUUUUUCGGGACUCAGUAGACCAUUUGAGGUCACAAUUUAUAUUGUUGAAUAGAUAUCGAGAUCACGAACGCAUUGGCUAAAGCCGUUUGCAAGUUCGGAUUAUAACGGUAUAGUUACAAAUGUUUGAAGUUGUUGCUAAAAAAAAAAGAAAAUUGAAAAGAGAAGAAAAAGCCACGGGAGUGGCUGAAAAAAAAAAAGAAGUAAAGAAAGCCACACUGGUGGCGAGAGAAAAGAAGGAAAAAAAAGGGGAACGGACCCUUCUCCGCACACACAUACCCAUUCCGUCGAUCCGGUUAAUUUCGGUGGAUUUCUAGCCAUUUUCAUGCGAAUUUCACCCAAUCAUCACCUGAAAUCACCACCACAUUCCUUCUCCUUCGAUAUUCAUUCAAGAUUGGACGAAAAUUGGGUUGAAUUUGGUGAAACUCGCACCGGUGGGUGCGAGGGUUCCUUGUCUUCAAUCCACCAUUUUGGAAACGAUUUCCUUCGAUCUCCAUCGCCAUUGGACUCCCCUUGAGCCUUGGAACAAAGCCCAAUUAGUUGUAAGGGUGACAAAACACCAAGGAGGUCGAAUUGAAGCACAUCCAAUUUCUAAGGUUCCGGCGGGUUCAUCAUGAAUUGAGGUGUUUCUCGGCCAAAUUGGCCUUAGUCACAGGUAUCAAACUUCAUCUACUCUUCAAAAGCUUCAAGUUGGUAUGCUUGGUUCGUGCUUUCGUAUUCAUUUUAGUGUUGGGUGUUUACAACCCUAGAAAUCCAGUUUUCUUCGGUGAAUUUGGACAGUUUCCUGUUAGAAUUUAUCGUCGGCCUAGUUGUGAAAAGUGUUUCCCUUGUUGAGCUCUAGCUACGACGUAAAUUUGAACUCAUUUAGUUAAUAUUGAAAAUUCGGGUUUUCAAAACCCUCCAACUUGGCUACCACCGAGUAUGGCGGUGCGUGGGACCGUCCACGAGUGUUGUCUAAGUACUAAAUAUCUUUUAGUGACCCUAUGAACCUAUGUCUAGCGCGGUUUCCCGAAAUUCAAUUGUUUGAUGUGGUGAUCAAAUUGGACCACCAUUUGUUUGUAUGAUUGACGACAAUCCGAUCGUUGGAUUGUCAUACAAUUUUGUGAGCACCUUAGUUAUCAGUUGUUGGACCUUUGAGAACUUAUGGAUCGGAAAUCCGAUGUGCGGAUCUUCUGGUUUGAAUAACCUUAGAUUGUUGAUCUUAAUGGACUUACCUUAUCGACAGUGGACGUUCUAGUCAACGUGCUAUACUCUAGAGUGUCGUUUAUCUCUAGUUUGUUGUUGAGGCUUGAUGGAACUUAGUUGGCUCAUCACGAUGACGUGUGUUUCUCUGUUGACGUGUGUCUUGAUAUAUGUAUUAGUGGCAUCAUAUUGAGUUAUACUUGUUAAUUAAAUGUGCUUUCUAUUGAAGUGUUAUUUUAUUUUUAGCAUCGAUCUAUGUUUAUUAAUUGUGAUUCGACUGUAGCUUGGAAACGUUUAUGAAAUGUGGUUAGAUAUGUAUGAUCAGUAUGAUGUGUAUGAUUGUUUUUAGGACGAUGUGAACCUAGAAUCUUAUGAGAAGUAUUAUGUAUAACUUUAAUGCUUGUAUGAUAAGAUAGUUAGUGGUCAUGAGAAGUUGAUAGUGCAAUUGAUUCCGUUGAGUGAUGGUCUGAAAUCCCUUCUACUCCAUGAUUCCGUUGAGUGAUGGUCCGGAAUCGUAUCCUUGUUUGGAUUCCGUUGAGUGAUGGUUCGAAAUCCCUUCUACUCCGCGAUUUCGUUGAGUGAUGGUCCGGGUAUCCUUGUUUGGAUUCUGUUAAGUGAUGGUUCAUAAUCCCUUCUACUCCACUAUUCCGUUGAGUGAUGGUCCAGAAUCGUUUCCUGGUUUGGAUUCCAUUAAGUGGUCCAAAGUUACAUCACUUGACUUGUUGGUUUCUUAGAUUUGAUAUCAGCUUCAGAGAUGUAGGUUUGGCUUAACUGUGUCACUUUAGCCUUAGUUUUAGAAUAUUUGUGAGCAAUGGUUUUGAGAAUCUUGUGAAUUGAAUUAGAAAAGCUGUUGGACGUUUGGGUGACUCCUUCAGGAUUUUCUAUGAUUCGAUUAUGAUUUCAUAAAGUAUGAAUUUAGAAGAUAUGGUUAUAGUUGUUAUUAUUUUGGGCAAAUUAACUAUUAAUGUAGCUAGAGAAUUGUAUUGGGCUUCGUCGGUUCCUUGAUAUGAUAUAUAUUGUGAAUUGCGGUAUCAUGUUGCGACAUAAUGACUUAUAUAGAAGAUGGAAGGAAAAUCUUGAUUUUCAGGUGGGUUUGUUAUUUAACCCUGAGUCUAGUAAUUUCAUGCUUGUCAAGUUCUAUUGAUUGAUUGAAAAAUUUUAUGCCUUUCGGCUUAAAUGGACAAUGACAUAUGUCAAUUAUAGUGCAUGAAGAACUACGAAUGACUUGAUCCCUGUUUAGGGUACGUAGGUAGUCUAACAAGGAGGUUAGAUGCAGUCAUAAAGCAUAAGAAAAAUUAUUAUGCGAUUCGAUUAUCGAAUUGUGCUCUGCCCAUAUCCUGGAGGUGGGGUAUGAUAGAUACGGGUAUUUGGUAACGUCACGUGUCGAUCCUAGACGUAUGUCGGGAUCGGGGCGUGACAACAGUAUUUCUGAAACUAAACUCUACUAUUUAUGAAACUAAACACAACUACUACACCAUAUCUAAAACUAAACACUGACUAUUUAUGAAACUGAACACAUGUACUAUCAUUAUUUCUAAAAUUAAGCAAUGAUAAUAUCAUUAUUUUUUAAACUGAUCACUAACUAUUUUUGAACUAAACACGAGUGUUACACUGUUUUUGAAACUAGACCUUACUAUUUCUAAAAAUUGACCAGGAGUAAUAGCACUAUUUCUUAAAUUGAAUAUUGGUACUAUCACUAUUUCUGAAACUGAUCACGGAUACUGCACUAUUUCUGAAACUGAUCACGGAUACUACACUAUUUCUGAAACUGAUCACGGAUACUACACUAUUUCUAAAACUUAGCAUAGAUACAACACUAUAUCUGAAACUGAAAACGGACUAUUUCUGAAAACUAAACACGAGUAUUAUCACUAUUUUUUAAAUUGGACAUUGACAAUUUCUGAAUAUUAAAAACCUUGAUCAUACAAUAUGCACUCUUGCAUAUACAAAUUCAAGAUCAAAUGUGUAUGAACCUUGAGUAUUGAUUUCUUUCGUAUAAGGACAACAAAAUCAAUAUCCCUUUGGGAAAAGUGAAUAUGCCUGUCCUUUACACUAGCGCAGAGUUCCAUUGACUCUAGCUUGGCAGCAAUUCGUGCUACGCAACCAUCCACAACAAAUAUUGUUGAGAUAUACCAACGGGGUAUUUCCAAUUAGCUGCAGGAAUCAAGAGGACAAUAAGAGUGCAUUAUAGGCCAAAUCAAAAUAUUAAACAAAAUAAAUAUUUAAAGCUAAAUUGAAUGCUUAAGUUUCAUGAAGAAAAAUGGUACUUCGGUGACAUCGUUCUUGAUUGCAAAUUUGACUUGCAUAUUUAUCUUCUCUUGCAGCAAGCUGUGAAAACAGAUUCAAAUGUUCAAUUCUACUGCAACCCAACCAAUCUUUACAUUUAAAAAAUAAUUCAUUUAUUAAUUUAAACAAUAAAAGUUCUACAAAUCAAAAGCAACCAGAAAAUUCCAAACACUUAAUCAUGUCAUCUUCUUAAAAAAUCACUUGAAAAAAAUAUUUGCAAAAGCCCAAAAAUAGUCAACAUAAUCAAAACUAGAAGACCCCAAAUAUGCAGAAUAAAUAGAGAAAAACAAAUCCACACUUUUUUCACAAAUUCGAAACCAAAAGUACCUCUUGGAGUCCAUUUUAAAGCUAUCUCUGAUGAUUGUUAGAACUCGCUCGAACUCGUAGUUAUCAGUGGAAGACAGGUCGGGAGCGUCCCGAACUUCUCGAACUCUUCUAGGCCUUGACUUCCUCAUAGAUCACAAGGGUGGCGUCAUCUCUAUUGUAGACGAUAAGAUCAAAAUUAUAAAUUGAGAAAAUAGCAGAGAGAAAAUGACAUGAGAUAUGUAGAAACUUGUAGAAACCGUACAAAAGGUUUUUUUUUAAGGAAAACUAAUGAAAAGGGCUUGAAAACUUUGAGUUUUAAUGAUAAGGACAAAAUAAAGGGUAAAGUGAAUAGUACCAGGAUUGACUUUUUAGUGUAAAAAUAUGGUUUUUCGUUAAAGUGAACAGUACCGGGUGCUUUUCGUUAAAGUUCCCUUUUUUUUAUUUCAUCCGAAGUGAAACAGAUUAAAUAAAGGGAGCUUUAAUGAGAAGUGUUUCUCAAAAUUUUUAAUUAAACAAAAAUCAUUACUAACUUUAUUUAAUAAAAAUGAUUUAAACUUUAAUAAAAAAGAUUCAAAUUUUAAUGAAAAGGACAAAAGUUUUACAUAAUAACAAAAAUAAAAAAUAAAAAACCAACAAAUAGUGACUCGCAGGACCAUGUGUCACAUCACACACAUACACACACUCUCUCUCACUCAACCGUUCAAUCUCUUUCUCUCUCCCUCUUUCCCAUAUUCCCCUCAAUUUUUCUCUUCUUUCACCUCACUCAUCUACAUCAAAUUUUUUUUCACCUCGCCCCACUCUUCUCUCUCCUUUCACCUCACUCCAUAAAUAAUUUAUUUUUUAAUUUUAUUUUAUUACUUGUUCAUUUGACUAUUCGUUCAAUUUUUUUAGAACAAACUAAGUAAUAAUAUUACAAGAUCAAAAAUAAGAAAAAAAUUUAUUAUUCAGUUUUAUGAACACUAAUACUGUCACUAUUUCUUAAACAGAACAUUGACUUCUUCUUAAAUUUGAAAAUCGAACAAUAUUUCUUAAACUGAACAUUGACUACUUCUUAAACUGAAUAGUAUUUCUUAAAUUAAACACUAACUGUUUCUUAAACGUAACACUAAUACUAUCACUACUUCUUAAACUAAACAUUGACUAUUUCGUAAACUGGACACUAACUAUUUCUUAAACUAAACACUAGUACUAUUACUAUUUCGUAAACUAAACACUGAUUAUUUCUUAAAUUUAACACUAGUACUAUCACUAUUUCGUAAACUAAAUAGACUAUUUAUUAAACCAAAUAAUAGUACUAUCACUAUUUCGUAAACUAAGCACAAAUUAUUUCUUAAACCAAACACUAGUAUUAUCACUAUUUUGUAAAUUAGUACUGUCACUAUUUCGUAAACUAAACACUGACUAUUUCUUAAACCAAAAACUAACUAUUUUGUAAACUAAAUACUGACUAUUUCUUAAAAUCGAACACUAGCACUAUCACUGUUUUUUAAAUUGAACACCAAUUAUUUUAUAAACUGAACACAAAAGGUUCAAAAUUUGAAGCUCUCUUCUCAUUAUCAUAUGAAUCACUGGCAAUAAUAUUUAUAUUCUUACAGAGUUAGAAUAAUGAUUUUCACAUUCCUAUUUGUUCUUUAACAUUUCUUCAAACAAUUUAUUUGACUUUCCUUUAAUUUAUUCAAUACAAAAUUAACAACAAAAACAUAAAUGAAAGAUCAAAAAAGCUAAUGUGCUUUCAUUGAGGAUCAUAAUCUAAUAUUUUUUAUUUUUAGGUUUUAGCUGGUUAGGGUUAAAAUUAAUAAAGAAUUCCAUGAUUUGAACAUAGGGUGAUGAUGAGAUGCUACCCCACAUGCAAGGAAAAAAAUAUCGGUAAUAUCGGAAAUAUCGGUAGUCUGAAAACACGGAAAUAUCGAUGGAAAUAUUGGGAUAAUAUCGACAUCGAUAAAAAUUACAUGGAAACCACGGAAAUUGUAAGAAAAACUUGGAAAUUUUUAUUGAAACUUUGUAGGAUAUUUAUUUAGUCAAUUAUCUAUUAGUUUAUCACAAAAAAUUGGAAGGAAAUGCAUUGCAUGAUGGAUUUAACUGAUUUAAGUUGAUUAUAUAGCGAGCUGACAAACAUUGUGAGUGUAGAAAAUAUGUAGUAAUUAAUGAAAGAAGUUUAAACACACCAUAAUCAUUUAUAUAUAAUGAAUUAGUACAAUAUUUUACACUUUAUACAUUGCAUGGUAAGAUACAUGAGUGACUUGGUACCACAUAGAAUUCUUAUGAGGUUCAAAAUUUUCACUAUGUUGAAGGAGUAAAUGGGAGGGGUUCGAAUCCCCUUGGUGUUUUUUUUAAAUAUAGAAAUUUAUCCUAGAUAAUAAAUAUUAGCUUGCAAGUCUUGCAGACAUCUUAACGACCAUAUAAAUAUUACAGGCUGAAUAUGUAAUCACAAACACAUAUGUAAUCACAACUUAUUUAUAGUGUACUCAUUCUUUAUAUAAAAAUAAAAAAUAAAUAAAAAUAAGAAAAUUACCAUUUUGUUAUAUAUAUUUUCCAGAUCCGUAUACGUCAAAUGUGCGCAGAUCAAAUCAUAUCAGAUUAGAUAUUUUGCACACCCCAAGACGUCCACGUACAAGUCAGUAAAAAACCUAAAUCACCCACAUGGUGACACUAACAUUACUCGCACCUCUCAGCCCUCUAAUUUACGAAAGACCUCGUGUCUUCCCUUCGUUUCACAUAAUAUUUUCCCCUCCGAGCCUCCACCUCUCUCUCUCUCUCUCUCUAGUCAUUUUCCUUCCAACCAAACAGUCCAAAAUUUUUCCAAAAAAUUCAAAAAAAUGGACUCGACGCCAAUUAACUGGGAAGCCCUAGACGCUAUCGUCAUCGAUUUCAUCAAAUCGGAGAAGCUAAUCGAAGACGACGACUCCGCCUUUACGACGUCGCCUUCCCCUUCCUCUUCCUCUUCCCCCUCCUCUAUCUCCUCGUCGUCGUACCACUCGAGAUUGAUCAUUCGUCAGAUCAGGCGAACGCAGGAACCCUCGUCUUUCUCCCUCUCCUUCUCGUCUCUGUAACUUGGCGAACACAGGAACCCUCCGACGAGUUCCUUCAAUUUCUCCGGUUAGGUAAGCUUCGGGUUUUUCUUUUUAUGUUCUAGAUCGAAGCUUAGAUGUGAAAUUGAAGUUCUAUCUCGUCUUUUUGCAAGGUUUUUGGGAUGAAAUCGACUCGGGAAUAGGCAUACCCAUCUCUGGCGAGGCCAUGGGUGUCGAUGAACUUUCCGAACACCUCCGGCCGUUUCACGGCAAACAGACGUUAUAAAAACGUUCCUCUCAUCUUCUAUUUCAUUUUCAUACCUAGAUCGGAGUCUAAGGGGUUGUUUUAUAGUCGACCGGAGCUGUAGAAGCUCCGACGUUCGUCUCCGACUUGUACAGUUCUGAAAUUUCGCGAAAUUUUGACGAAAACCCCUUGGAUACCACUUAAAAUAUCGGUUUGGGGAAAAACCGAUAAUAUCGGCGAUAUAUCGCCGAUAUUAUCGAUAUUUUCUUCCUUGCCCACGUGUAAGGCUAAGUGGUAGUCAUGUAUUGAUGUUAGCAAUAUAUUUUUUUAUCUCAAAUUUCUUUCUCUCUAAAAUUUUUUAGGGUUUGUUGAUGUCAGUUUGGAUAGACUUGAUUGGCAUUUUCUUCUCUCUACCCUCACAAUCUCUCUCUCUGAACCUUUUUCCUUCCCGAUGAAUAUUUAAAAAGUAAUUUGUAUGCUGCUUUUGCACUGUUGGUUUUCUGUUGAACUGCUUGCUUUUGCACUGCUUGUGUGCACACGCGCUUUGGGUUGAACAAGUUUUUGUAUUUUUUGUUUUUUAUCUCUUGUCCUUAUCAUUAAAUAAAAGUUAUUAGGUGACUUUUGGUUAAAACUCAAAGUUUUGAAGCCAUUUUCAUUAGUUUUCCUUUAAAUAAACGGGAGAAGGUGCUACCAUUAGGGUAAAAUCGGAAACUCAUUGUUUGAGCCAGUUUUGAUUGGGCUAAUUUAAUGUUGGUUUGUCCUAAUCAUUAAAUAAAGUUAGUAGGUGGUUUUUGGUUAAGAUUCAAAGUUGUGAAAACCUUUUCAUUAGUUUUCCUUAUAUUCAAAGCUACUUUAUCCAAUUUUUCGUCAACUGAAGUCAUUUGACAUACUUUAGAGUGUAAUAUCAUCAUUUUCUCGUCUAUAAGUACUUAACAUUUCAUACAGGUUAUGAAUUUAAUAUCUAAUUUACCCUCAAAAGUUAACUUACACUAUUUCUUUAUGAAAAACUACCAAUUUUUCCUCGAAAGUUAACUUCAUACACUAUUUCUUUAUGAAAAACUACCAAUCUACCCUGUAAUGUGUAUAACAUGCAAGUAACGUGACUUAUAUUGACGGAAAAUUGAAUAUAGUGGCUUCGAAUAUAACAUUAGGGAUGUAAUUGGCAAAUUUUUAUAAUUAGGGACUAUUUUUUCUGAAAAAAAUAGUUUAGGGACCUAAUUUUCACUAAGGUGAUAAUUCAGAGACUAAAUUGGCAAUUUUACCUUCAUGUUUUAAAUAGGAAUGCAUCUUAAUAAUCAAGCAGCAUAAAUAAAAUAAAAUAAAUCUUAUAGUUCGACUACAAAACAAAAAUGGCACAUGAAAUUAAAAUUACAUAGUAGCAAUAUCCCAUACAAGUCGUCUUGUUAUUUUUUUUUUAUGCAAAUCAAUUUGGAAAUCUUAUUAUUUUCAUUCUCAUCCUGUAAUGUUGCAUGAUGAUUUGAACUGUUUAUCUUUAGGUCGUCAUUUAAAAACCAUCUCUACAAAAAUCUAAAUGCAUUCAAAAGUUUUUGCUCAUGUAACGAUUAUUCAAUAAUUCUUUUAAACACUGAAAUUAUGACAAUAUUAUUCUAAAAUGGUUUGACGAUAUCUAGUUUGGUUCUUUGUUGCAAAGUUGCUCUUUAAAGAGUGACCUAGAUAAUAUACGGUUUUGAUCAUUGAAUAACAUUGCUUGAUCAUAAAAAAGAAAUGAGAAAGUAGAAAGAAAAAAAAUUUACAUUAAACUAACCAAAAUAAAUUAGUUCAAAUUUGUCUUUGACGAGAAUUGAAUCUAAGAUUUCUCACGUGAAAGCAGUAAUACUAGAAUGUGAAGUUUUUUGGUAAAAUAAAUAAAGGAAAUAAAAUAACUGGCAUUACAUCAUACUCACCUAUCACGAUGUAUAUGUUCCAUACAUGUGGGCAGUGGCAAAGCCAGAAUUUGUCGAGGGGAGGGGCGAAAUUCAAAAGAAUGCAAGGUUUCAAUCGAAGCGGUUGCUUUUAUAUUGGACAGUGCAAAGUUUUAAGUCAAUAUUCAUAGUAGAAAACAGUCUCUUCACCAUAACGGUUGUAAGCGGUAAUAUCAAAGCCAUGUAAGAAGCUUAAAUUGGUUAGGAUUAGAUUCUAAAAAAACAUUAGGCGCUAUGGAUUGAGACCUAGCAGCUAGGCGCCUAGACAAGAUUUAAGUAGGAGCCUAGAUAGAUUUAAAUAUAUUUUUUAUAUCGUGAAAUAAGUAUUAAACAAUAUUUACAUUAUUUUUUAAAAAUUAGUACAAUAUUUAUAGAUAAUAUGAAAGUUUAAGAUAAAUACGCUAUGGGUCUUAAAUAAAUAAUGUGAGAGUUAAACAUAACUUUGUUAACUUUUAAUAAGUUAACAAAUAAAUAAUAAAAAGUAAAUUAAAACCAGGGGUAGAAUCCCCUUGGUUCUUGCAAAACACAAAACAAGUGACCCCAAAUCAUAAUGAAAGAUCAAAUUCCAAAUUUCCAUCCCAAUUUUCCCUAGAAACAAACUAAAAAUUCUCUUUCCAAGAAGUAGAAGAAGCCGAAAAGAAAAGCAUCGCCGCUUGUGAGCGGUGGGUGAGGUGGUGUCUCUGCUUGAUUUCAAUGUUAGUUCGGGUCUUUCUUCACAAAGCUUCGAGCCACCAUUUCCAUGGCCGGUGACAAAAUCUAUCGCAUAUGGAUUCUUCUUGUCCGUCAAUGGCGAACCCGCCUGUAAGCAGAUGACGUCUUCAAUGUUUUUUCUUCGAACCCAGGUGCGCCCACAUCCUACCCCAUUUCCGUCAAACAAAUAAAGAAGGAGACAUGAAGGAGACACCACUUUCGGGACAGCAGCCCCGGAGCCAUAGUCAGUACUACUAUGUUGAUAACCAAACACCUCAUUUCUCCUACCACUACCCAUGCCAUGGCAAAUCUGCAAACUCGAAGUCGAAGCCCUUCAUCGAUCCCAUCGCAACCUACUCCCAAAAAAAAAUUGCAUAUCUGCUGCUGUGCGCAGCAGAACAGAUCACCCAACAACACAAACAGAGGAUGAACCAAUGGGUUUCCCGGCGAGGGGAGUGGCGGCUGCCACUCCUCGCCCUCACGUGGCUUCGCCCCUGUGUGGGGUCUUGGCCUUUCAUUUUAAGCUAAGUUAGGUUCGGGCAUUGUUAGCAUGUGGUACAUUACAUUUUCAUGGAAGCAUAAUCACACGAAGAGGAAAAAGGAAAUUAAAAGCUCCUCCAAUCAUCCAAUGGCUUAUGAGUUACAGCACAGUCACGAUUCACUUGUCGCUCUGUUCUAGCAAAUCAAUUCUUUAUACAAGUCACCUUGUUAUUUAAUUUAGUUUUUAAUCAAAACAGUCACUUUUAUUUUUUUAAAGGGUAAAAGACUGUUUACUACCUUCAAGUUUCAUGGUUUUCAACAUUUGGUACAUCAAGUUUUUUUCGUCCCAGAGUCAUACCUAAAGUGUUAAUUUUGGGACAGUCUCAUACAUCCGUUAGUCAAACUGUUAAGUCUGCCGUUAACUGAUGACGUGGCGCCAUGUGGACAAUGAUUGGGCGCCACGUGUCAUUAAAAAAAUUAAAAAUAUUAAACUAUUAAAAUAAUUAUUUAAAAAAGUAUUUAAAAAAAAAAAAACCGCACGUCUACAACCUCACCUCCCCUCCUCUCUGCACCGCCAAAUCACAGAAAAAAAGGGCCACCCUUCUUCUUUAUCCUGAGCUCUCAAAUGGUCUACAACCAAACCAUCAAAACCCCAAUUGAAGUCUGACUUCUAGUUCUCCAAUUUCUAAACUUUCUAAUUAUUUAUGUAGUUGAAUUUGAUUUGACUUUUAGGGUUUAAUUCAUGUCUUGUAAUUGGGUUCUAUUUUGAUUAGGGGAAGAUUGCAGCUUUCGUUUAAUUUUUGGAAGAAGACGACGAUGGUAGGGAUCGGGGAGUCGAAGAGGGAGGAGGUGGGUAGCAGGAUGAGCACGGCGAACGUGGCGACUCAUACACCAGUGCAAAUAGGUAGAUUUUCCAUUCAAAUCCAAACUAAAAACAUAAAAAUUGAAGUAUUUCCUUACCUAGAUCUACCCAACGACCAGCCCACCAACCAACCAAUUUACAAAAUCCCCAAUCUGAAACCCUAACAACCUAACCCCCGAACCCGUACAAAGUCCUACCUUGCCUCUUGAGUGCAUAGACGAUGUCCAUCGUCGUCACAGUCUUCCUCUUGGCGCUCAGUGUAAGUCACGGCGACGAGGUCUCCGGCGAAGGGAGAAAAGUGCUCGGACGAAGGUGGGGAUGGGUCUUCCUUUUCUCCAUGUUUGUGGGGUUAAGAAUGGAAUUUAUGAAAGAAAAUUGGAGAUGAGAUUGGGGUGGGGACGACAGAGAAGGGGAUGGGAGUGGAUCCACGAGGGAGGGGAUUGGUUGGAAAGCUGGUCGGAGGAGGGGGAAGGAUAGAUGUGCAGACGUUGGGGUAGGUGCAGUGGAGAGAAGGGAGGGGGUCGGGGUGGGGAAGACAAAUGGGUUCUGGGUUUUUUGUUUUGUUUUUCUUGUUUUUAAUAUUUUUUUUAAUUAAUUAUUUUAAUAGUUUAAUAUUUUUUAAUUUUUUUAAUGACACGUGGCGCCCAGUCAUUGUCCACAUGGGCGCCACGUUAUCAAUUAAUGGCAGACUUAACAGUUUGACUAACAGAUGUAUGAGAAAUUAACACUUUAGGUAUGACUCUGGGACGAAAAAAACUUGAUGUACCAAAUGUUGAAAACCACGAAACUUAAGGGUAGUAAACAGUCUUUUACCCUUUUUUAAAUUUACAACAAAUUCAUAUGAUUAUUGAAAAUUAUUUUGUAAAGUACUACGGAGUUAUAAUUAUUUAAACUUUCAUCUCACUCUAUCAAAUUAGCCAAAGUACUAAAGAUAAAUAAAUUUACUUACACUCGCCUAGGCUGUGCCUAGGCCCUAGUCUGUCACUCGAUAAGUGCCUAGCAUCUUUUAGAACCAUAAGAAAUAGUGUGUUUUUAUUCAAUUUCAUAAAUAGUAUAUCAUUUUGCAACAGUUCCAGCAAUAGUGUGCAUUAUUUUUUGUUCAAAUAUAGAAUUAGUGUGAGUUAUUUUGUAUUAGUUCCAGAAAUAGUGUUUAUUUUGUUAUUUUUCAUAAAUAGUGUGAGUUAUGUUAUUUUUCAUAAAUAGUGUGAGUUAUUUUACUUUCAAAAAUAGUACAAGUUAUUAUGCUGUAGUUCAAUAAAUAGUGUGGGUUAUUUUAGUUCACUUUCAAAAAUAGUGUAGGUUAUAAUGUUGUUUAAGAAAUAGUGAGGGUUAGUUUGGUUCACUUUCAGAAACAGCGUGAGUUAUUUUUGUUGUAGUUCAAGAAAUAGUGGUUCACUGUUAGAAAUAGUUCAAAAAUAAUGUUUAUUUUGCUCCCUUGCAUAAAUAGUAUGAGUUAUUUUGGUUCGGUUUCGUAAAUAGUGUGAGUUUUUCGUUGUAAUUCCAGAAAUAGUAUGAAUUAUUAUGGCUCACUUUCAUAAAUAGUGUUAAUUAUUUUGGUGUAAUUCCAAAAAUAAUAUGUAUUAUUUUGGUUUACUUUCAGAAAUAAUAUUAGUUAUUUUACUGUAAUUUCAAAAAUAAUGUUUAUUUUGUUACCUUCCAAAUACAGUGUGGAUUAUUUUGGUUCAUUUCAUAAAUAGCGUGGGUUUUUACUUGCGGUAGUUCCACAAAUAGUUGUUGUAGUUCAUAAAAUAGUGUCUUAACCAUUUUCAUUGUUGCAGAUGGGAAACGAAAAAUGUUAGGGUGAAGAGUUCCAUAAACAUGCGUGUUGAACUUCAGCUUGAACAAACUAUCAGAAGGUUUACUAGCUUGCUGAAAAUACAAGGAAUAAGAGGGGGGGGAGUCAACCGGUACUACUACAUAAAUCCUACACAUAGACCAUUUCCAGUCUAAUCUAGCAUAACCAAAUUUAAUAAUAAGAUCGUUUUCCAAAAAAAAAAAAAAAAAAAAAAAAAAAAAAAAUUAAUAAUAAGAUCCAAUCACAUUUCCCCAGAAUAAAAGAGUUUGAUUAGUAGACUUUAAUAAAUAAAAGAGUACUCUAAUCGAAUACCAUUCAAGGUUAUUGGUUAUAAGGCAUAAGUCAGCAUAUACUUUCAAUAGAAGACUUGAAAAACAAGUUUCAUUAGACAACUUAGAGCUUCCAUACAAGAAUCCGAUUAUAUGAAUGAAAUCUGGUAAAUCAUUCAAUUCAUAUGUGACAAAUUGAACUUCAUUGUCAAUUCAGCUCUGUGUGAAUGACUACCUACUCAUGAAAGCAUAGUGUACAUAGCCCUCCUAACUGAUUAAAGGAAAUAUCGACCACAAUAUUUUGCACAAGGCACUUUACAAGCUUGACCUACCACAAGAAGACCAAAUAGUAUUUACAUAGGAAAAUCAAAAGUUUUGUUAUCUACUAUAACUAGAAUCAAAAUAAUGGCUAAUGAAAUAGACACGCACGUAGCAAUUUCAUUCAAGGGAAAUGCAAGUUACACAACAUAAACUCAACACAAAAAUUUUACUAGACAUAGAUGGCAGCAUCAACAUUAAGCUGUAACUUAUACCUAUAUUCAAUCUAAUAAAGUGAAGAGGUAAAAGCUAAAAACCUCUGCCCAAAUCAACUGGACAUCUUUCACCAUAAACUCAGCAGCCAUAUUUUGAUAUUCUCUUUCAAGGACAGCACAGACGUCACCACCCAAUAUCUCCAUCCGGCAGAUAGGUCUUUACUCUUUAGAGGUAAGGUAAUUAAAUGAAUAUUGUCAUUUAUCAAUGAGGAUAUCCGGGGUAAAGUAGGAGUAGCCGAAAUUGAAGGAAAGAUGAGAGAAAAUCGGUUACGGUGGUUUGGACAUGUGCAAAGAAGGCCUACUGACGUUCCGAUUAGAAGAUGCGACUAUGGGACAGAGGUUCAGGGCCGAAGGGGUAGAGGAAGACCUAGGAAAACUUUGGAAGAGACUCUAAGAAAAGACUUAGAGUACUUGGAUCUAACGAAGGACAUGACACAGGAUCGAGCACAAUGGCGUUCUAAGAUUCAUAUAGCCGAUCCCACUCAGUGACUUGGAUUUUCCAAGUCUUCAACCAAGAAGUUUUCCUCACUCAGGAAAUUAAGGGAACACUACCCCAACCUACAUGCUCCACUCAGAAAGCUUCAACAUACAAGCUUCAACAAAAGAAAAUUCAAAGAACUUAGCGAAGAAGGCUUUGGUGUAUUUAACACAAAUACGUUGAAAUGAAGGAAAGCUUAUUUAUUGAUAUCCCCGAUAAGCUACAAAUAUGUACAUAUACAUGAGUCAAAAUAAGCACACAAGAGGGAGACUUCACAAAGGUUGCUUAGGAGAAGUCUCAGCAGUCGGUAGAGCCCCAGAAAGAGAAGGCACCGGAGGGGGAUCAUUUGGAGCCUCAGUACUGGACAGAACCCUAGAAGGAGGAGGCAUCAGAGGUUGAUCAUUUGGAGCUUCAUUACGCGGUACAGCCCCAAAAGACGAAGGCAAUAAAUGCCUUUGGAACAAACCCACAAAUCUCUGAUGAUCAAGUAAAACCUGACCAUCAGUUUCCUUCAUCUGGUCAAGCUUCCUCUUCAUGUUUGUAGCAUAGUCAUGUGGCGAGCCGGUGCAACUGUUUAUUCUCAUGCUUGAGCCCUCUAAUCUCCUGUUUGAGACUCAUCACUUCAGCCGCCAAUGAUUCAACUUGGCGGGUUCGAGCAAAUAGGCGUUGGGCCAUAUUAGACACAGAACCUGCACACUGAACACUGAGAGCCAGCGAAUCCUUAACAGCUAACUCAUCAGACCGUUUGGAAAGUAGUUUGUUAUCUUUGGGAGUGAGAAGGUUCCUGGCCACCACCGCAGCGGUCAUAUCAUUCUUCAUCACGGAAUCCCCAACGGUAAGAGGACCAGUAGGGGAGACGAAAGAUGGGCGCCAUAUGUUGUCUGGAGAAGGCGGGGCUGCCUCUUCAACAAGGUUCAAGUCAAAACGACGGUCGGAGGGGCCAGACAUUUUCAAAGGUGUUGAAGAGAGAAGAGGUCGGACAAAUCAAGAUCUUAGAAGUGCAAGAAUGAAGCUUCUACUGGUGGAGAUCCAAGUGUGCUUUGGAACUUAAUGCCAGCCCCUAUAAAAAUCUGCACUCGACGGAGCUUCAAAAAUCGAAGAGGCGCCUGCUCAGAAAUCGAAGAGGCGUUUGCUUUCUCAAAAGCUGGGCUGCUUAGAGAUCACGAGGGUUGAUCUCAGAAAUCGAAGAGGCAUUUGCUUUCUCAAAAGUUGGGCUGCUCAAAGACCACGAAGGCUGAUCUCAGAAAUCGAAGAGGCGCUCGGCCUCAAAGCUUGAGACCACGCACGAAGAGAGGCCAUCAGAUCAUUCAGCAACCUGCACUGUUUGCGGAACAGGCAUUUGUAAAGACCAGCCUUACACAACAAAAAGUUUAAAAAAUUUCUUGAACACAGCUGAACGCUCUUCUAAAAAGAAGCAAAACUUUGAGGCUUCCCCCAAGGGGAAAGAAAAGAACCACUGAAAAACCAGUUCUGGCCAACCAUUCCCAAGAAUUGAAAAAACGAAGAAGUCCCAUUCACAAAACUUUCACAUGAAAGAGUAAAAGCAAAAAAUGGGUAGACCCCACAAGGACAUACUCAGUCCCAUGCGGGAAUUAUGGAUAAUUGGCAAAAAGUUCCAUGGUGAAGUAGAAAGGCUUUUAAUUUAUUUUGCUUCCCACUACCACUUUAGGUCUGUGGUUUGGAAAGUGCACAAAGCAAAACGGGUACUCAGAAAACACACGCACCGUCAUUUCUUCCAACAAUGUUGAAAUAGACCCAGAGCCGAAAGACAAUCAAGAACUCUUAAAGCAAGACCCAACCCACUGGGUAGAACAGUGUCAACCACUUAAUUCGCAAGAAACAAAGUAUCCCCAUGCCAGACUUGUGCUUUGUGGCAAAAAACAUAAACAAGAGCGUCCAUCAAAAAGCGAGAAAAAAGGUACUCCCAGUAAGAUUGGGUCUUGAGAGACCAGAAUCGAGACACGUCCCGAGUUUGCCUCAAAAACCUGAAGAACUCUGGACACCUACUUUUCUAGAAACACGCAGUCAUACCACAACCUUUGUCAAAGAGCCAACACUGUACUCAAACUCGCUCUGAAAAGAAGGCAAAGUCAGCUUCUCCGAAGACUUUCUGAGCAGUACCACUGUGGGGAUUAAUUGGAAGUCCACAGAAUCUAGCAAACAUCUCCAUUUCAAUCACAUUCGAGAAAAACACUCCGCCACUCACAAUUUGAGAACUACCCUUAAAGAGAGGGGUAAAGGAACAGUACCUUGCUGGAUAAUUGGAAAGUCCCUGUGUGUCAACCUCUGUGCUUCGUGGCAAGGUAGACUAGCAAACAUGCCCAACCUUUACUCACAUUCGAGAAAACACUUUGCUUGCUCCAAAAUCGAAGAGGCACCGCCCUCCCGAAUCUCGAGAGCCAGACUCCCAACAUGAUUACUUUCUCAAAAAUCGAAGAGACACUGCUCCACGAAUCUCGAGAGCCAGACCCCCAGCAUGAUUGCUUUCUCAAAAAUUGAUGAGGCAUCGUUCUCCGAAUCAAUCGAAGAGGCGCUCGCUUUCUCAAAAGCUGGGCUGCUCAGAGACCACGAGGGCCGAUCUCAGAAAUCGAAGAGGCACCUACUUUUCUAGCCUUGUCAGCACCUGUCACACGCACACUCAGCUUUGCAGAAAUUAUGGGCAUUCUGUCGAAGACUUCUGGUGAAGUAGAAAGCACAUGAAUCUUACUAUUCAAUCACCCACUUCCCACACGUAACAAUAGCUCAUGGGUACCACAAAUAACUUUGCCAAAGUUCUCUGCCAAAGUUGAGCACGUGAAGCUUACAGCUCCCACUACAUCGCUCUGACCAAGAAAGGUAAAAGAAUAGCAAAGAAACAGCACUAACAAAAGUUUAGACACACAUAAAUUUUGAAGGUCUAGCUACCAUAUUAUUACCCACAAGGGUAAAGGAACAGUACCACUGCUGGAUAAUUGGAAAGUCCCUGUGUGUCAACCUCUGUGCUUCGUGGCAAGGUAGACUAGCAAGCAUGCCCAACCUUUACUCACAUUCGAGAAAACACUCCCAAUAAGAUUGCUUGCUCCAAAAUCGAAGAGGCACCGUCCUCCGAAUCUCGAGAGCCAGACUCCCCCAACAUGACUACUUUCUCAAAAUCGAAGAGAGGGUAAAGGAACAGUACCAUUGCUGGAUAAUUGGAAAGUCCCCUGUGUGUCAACCUUUGUGCUUCGUGGCAAGGUAAACUAGCAAACAUGCCCAACCUUUACUCACAUUCGAGACAACACUCCCAACAAGAUUGCUUGCUCCAAAAUCGAAGAGGCACCCGCCUUCCGAAUCUCGAGAGCCAGACUCCCAACAUGAUUACUUCCUCAAAAAUCGAAGAGACACUGCUCUCCGAAUCUCGAGAGUCAUACCCCCAGCAUGAUUGCUUUCUCAAAAAUCGAAGAGGCAUCGUUCUCCGAAUCUCGAGAGCCAGAUACACACAGACCACUUUUUCAAAGUGCUCUGACAGAGUUAAAACAUGUGAAACUGGCAGCUCCCACUACCGUGCUAUGACCAAGCAGGGUAAAGGAAUAGCAUUACUACUUGUUGUUAGGGAGACUCCUAUAUAUGUCGACCUCCAUCCCCAACGGACAGGCAGACCUGCAAAAAUGCUCAACCCUUCAUCAUCAUAUCUGAGAGGGCACUCCCAACGAAGCCUUUCGAAAUAUUCAGCUUUCUUUCCCCCCGAUAAUACCUCUGCAAACAAGCUAUACUAGAGCAAGAAUAUCUCAUAUCAUCAGGGUUAAAAAGCAAGAGUAUCCCAUAUCAUGCUUUUUCCCUGUCUUUUUCUUUUGGCCUUGUUUUACCUGCAAGACAAGGAGAAAGAGAGCAAUCAGUCAGCACUUGGAAUCAAGCUUCCAGCCAGGAACUGACUGCCUGGAACCCCUUACCUGAUUACUUACCUGACAUUGCUCUCGAGUACUCAUCUUCAACAUCUUAUGUUUCCAGGGAAGAGUCCGCAUCUGCUUGAGGAACAGAUAGGGCAAGUGCGAAGGAUACAAGGAAGCAUGUGGAGACAAGCGUAACAGCACACGUGCCGAUACAUUCAUUACUCUGUCAAAAGCAAAAGUAUCCCAUAUCAGCAGGGUGGAACGUACUCUAGAUUUGAUGGACUUGUUUUGACCAUCAAAUUCUUCAGUCGGCCUUAUACUCUGGAGGAAACCAGAAAACCCUCCAGCUCAGUUCAAGAAUAAGCCUGUGGAAAGUUACUUCUUCAAAAGCAAAAGUAUCUCAUAUCAUCUAUUCUCAUUUUUCUUCUCUUUAUCCUUCAUGCUGCUGCAAGAUGGGGAGAAGGUGAACAAUCAGUCGGAGCUCUGAUUGCUUACCUUGUCUGUCACCUCUUUCAGCAGACCCCCUAGCUCGGCGACUUGGGGGACUCCUACUACAUGGUUUGUAUCGCGCUUGACCAAGCCUGAAACUACAAGUAAGCUUCAAGUGAAAUUGAUACAUUACCUUGUGCAUCUCCACCAAUUAAAGAUACCACCCUUGGAUGGAGGAAGAGUACUUCCAGAGAAGAUGCCACAUCUACCUAUGAGACAGAUAAGGCAAGUCAAGACGACACCACACUCCGAUACUUAGAAGUUUCGUGAUUACGAGAUCAUUCUCCCACAAUAUUUCCUAAUGUCAUUUGUACUAAAUCAUUCACUUGUACUCACUAAAUGAGAGCUUGAACCUAUGUACUUGUGUAAACCCUUCACAAUUAAUGAGAACUCUUCUAUUCCGUGGACGUAGCCAAUCUGGGUGAACCACGUACAUCUUGUGUUUGCUUUCCUAUCUCUAUCCAUUUACAUACUUAUCCACACUAAUGACCGGAGCAAUCUAGCGAAGAUCACAAAAAGCGAUCGUUUUCGCUACCUAGGAUCUAUCUUGCAAGAGAACGGAGAAUUAGAUGGAGAUCUCAACCAUAGAAUACGAGCUGGAUGGAAAGAGUGCAUCCGGCGUGUUGUGUGACCGUCGUAGGCCACUGAAGCUCAAGGGAAAAUUUUAUAGGACGGCAAUAAGGCCAACGAUGUUGUAUGGCACAGAAUGUUGGGUGGUGAAGCAUCAACACGUACACAAAAUGGGUGUAGCGGAGAUGAGGAUGCUUCGUGGGAUGUGUGGGCACACGAGAAAGGAUAAGAUUGGGAAUGAGGAUAUCCGAGGUAAAGUAGGAGUAGCCGAAAUUGUAGGAAAGAUGAGGGAAAAUCGGCUCCGGUGAUUUUGGACAUGUGCAAAGAAGGCCGACUGACGCUCCGGUUCGAAGAUGUGACUACGGGACAGAGGUUCAGGGCCGAAGGGGUAGAGGAAGACCUAGGACAACUUUGGAAGAGACUCUAAGAAAAGACUUAGAGUACUUGGAUCUAACGGAGGACAUGACACAAAACCGAGCGCAAUGGCGUUCUAGGAUUCAUAUAGCCGACCCCACUUAGUGGGAAAAGGCUUUGUUGUUGUUGUUGUUGUUGUUGUUGUUGAAAGGUCAAUAGAAACUGAUAAAUCGCAGCAAGGAAAGUUUCAGCUCCAGAAAACAAAUUAACCUAAACUAACAAUUUAUAUGCAGAAUUCAAGCUCACCAAAAUAAAUUUCCAUGCCCAAUUCACAAACUAUACACACAAAUAUAUCAGAAAUUGGUUGUUUUGUAGCUCAAUAUGCACAUCAAUUUGAAUAAAAAAAAGUCGAAGACAAAGAUUUAUACCUCUGUUUUCUGAUAUUUGUGCUCGGACCCAUGUCGAUAUAAGAUGAAACAAAGAAAAGAGCUGCACAGAGAGAAACAACAUACAGAGUAACAACUUCAAACUGAACGAUCGAGACGGAGAAUUUCAGAUCGGAGUUGUAGUCCUAGUCAGAAGAUCCAUUAUCAUUGGUCCCUUAAUUCUUCAAAACGUGCAGCUAUGGUCCUUUUCGUUAACUCCGUCAAAAUGAGUUAUGUUGGAAUGACCAUUGCUACAAUUGAUAUAAAGAUGAAGGACCAUUGCUCUAAUUGAGUUAAAGUUGAGGGACCAUUUCUUUAGUUGGGUUAAGUUGAGAAAUCAUUGCUACAAUUUUUCUCAUUUGGUUUUCCAUAAUUGCCCCUGAUUCAGCCUCAUGGCACAUGACUCAUUUUGACGGAAGUUCUAACGGAGUUGAAGAAAAUGACCAUAGCCGCACGUUUUGAGAAGUUAAGGGAUCAAUGGUCUUAGAUUUUUAGUUUAGGGACCAUUACUCCAAUUGAGUUAAAGUUGAUAGACCAUUGCUACAAUUUCCUCUUAUUUAGACAUAAAUCAAUUAAUAGCAUCUUACAUUAGACGUCUGAAUUGGUCAGACUCAUUGUGUAAGGACUUACAUGCGCCCCUUCAGAUGCCACAUUGCCGUUCCAAACCAAUAACACAAUGUCAUGUAUAAGUGACAUUGUUACUUUGAGUUUGAUCUAUGUAAUUGGUGAAUUUUUUUGGGUCCAAACUAUGCUACCAAAAGAGAAUGACAGAGAAUUAGGAAUAGAAGCUCCUACAGUCAUUUGUGUAAUGGGGUAAAAAUUUCAAGAUUCACUUACGAAAGCUCGAAUCACCAUAUUUUGAUCCUCAGCUGGUCGCACUUUUUCAAGGGGUUUGCUUCUGAAAAACCUAAGCAGGUUCAUAAAGGCCUAACAUAUGCCCAUCAAAUACAUCGCAUGGCAGCAACCAGUAACACGAAACUCUUACUAAAAUCUCUGCACCCAGUGUAGCAAUGAUAUACGAACAAAUGAUCACAACGGUUUUGUUUAGAAAUUUAGUCAUCACCUUGCCAUGGACUUCAUAUUUGAUAGGGCCAUCAAGUUUCAGCUCCUUAUGCCAUCAACUUGGUCACUGUUUGAUUAAUGUCUGGCACUGUGAAGGACAAAAGUGAAGAGUUUCCAUUCUACAAUGCAUGAUCCCUGUCAAAAUUAGUCAUUAGCAGAUGCCAAUUUCAUUCAAAACAUAAAGCUUAAAUCCAAUUACUGCUCAAAUAACACCACAUUACCAAAAAAUACCAAGAAUUAUAACAUCGAAAAAACCCAAGAAAUUCUAAGUUUUACUCUUUCAAUCGACACAAACUUCACUUGGGUCUCUUUCAAUUAUACUGUUUUUACGAAAAACACGAGAAAACAGUACAAUUUGUGGGAAAGGAUGUGUAAAAAACUGGUUUAUACAAAUCAUCAAACACCUGGUGUGCACCGAGCACAGAGUCUCAGAGAAUGGAGAGGGAGAGUUCACUUGGGGUAUUGCAUAAGGUAAAGCUUGAAUGGGCUGGACUGUAGAUCCGUCUAUCGAAGAGUGCAGACAUUGACGGUGAAGUCCAACCCUUCGGCGUAGAACCAGGCGGCUUUUGGCACGUCCUUGUGCAGCUGCAGUAGCCACCUAAACAACGCCUCUGGCAUUUUUCCCUCGCUUUCUAAGUUACGUGCUGCUGACUGAAGGAUACUGACUCAUCGGUUGUCGUUUCAAGUGUGAGUCGUGACUCAUAUAAGACGACACGUCGUUUUGAAAGUUUCAAAGUUAAAUUGGAGAUUAGCAUAUGAUGACUGCGUGCCCAGAUAGUAGUCGCCUACCUCUUGUGUAAAAGUCUCACCUCUAAACUAUGGUGAUAAUCCUUGUUAAACUAUGGUGAUAAUCCUUGUUAUACAAAGAAUUUUUAUUCUAACGUUAAUGUUCGAAUUUUAUUUGAGGUCACUCAAUCGACUUGUUACAUAUUAUGAUGAAAGUUGUGCCUUUGCUUCACUCGACUCCUAAUUUCAUCAUUUUUUUCCUUUUUCAAUUUUGACAUAAUCCUAGACAUGAGGGCUUCUUUUAGGGUAUUAAGAGAUUCUACAAGCUUGGGGAUAUAUUUGAACUCUCAAGGGAAAUUUGGAAAGAUAGUCUAAAUUUGGAUCAUGUAUAGAAUUUAACCAAUUAUUAUAAGAGUGCUACUAGACCCACCCCAGUGUCCUAUUUUCCCACCCACAUGAUAAUCUCACCCACCAUAAAAAAUUAAAAAAGUAAAAUGUUAUUUCCCCACCCACCAUUAUUCCCAAAAUAACCAUAAUAUUUUUUUUAAAUAACUCUAAUAUAUCUUUAAAUAAUAUUAUAAUUAAAUAAAUAAAAAUAGAAAAAAAUGAAAGAAAAUGCAAGACCUAAGACCUAGACAUUUAUCAUAUCAUUCACACCUAUCGCCGCCCUACAGAGACCCCGGACCCCCAAACCACUCUUCUUCCUCAUUUUUUGUCAAAACCGCAGAUCUCACACUCAAUUCUCUUUUUUCUCCAUUGAAGUUUAUCGCCUUCGUCCAGUAUACGCUCAUUCCUUCCACCAACCUUUCCGUCGAUUCUAACCCUUUCCAAACCUCUUUUCCCCAAAGAUAUCACACCCCACCCACCAUUAUUUAUUUAUUAUUUUAAAUUAUUUUUUGUCUUUUCAAAAUUUUAGUAUUGAAUGAAAUAGAGGUUUAAGAGUCUUCUUUUAAAAGGAUAAAUAUGUUAUUAACAUUUUCAUUAAAUGGUGGGUGAGGAAAUAAGACACCGGGGUGGAAAUAUCACCACUCUUAUUAUAAUUUUCUGAAGUUUUAAUCAAAACAUGACAUGAAAAUACCACAAUGCCCCUUAUAUAUAUCAUUCUAUUGUUAAUUACACUCUGGCUUGCUUUCUUUCAAAGUCCAACAAGAAUUCACAUGUAGAGCUGCUUUAGAUCUCUGUGUGGAUGGUCAAUAAUUGAAGGGAAUCCGAGGGAAGUGGUAAGUCAUUUCCAAUCAAUGAUAGUAAUUGUACGGUAUUGUCCCUAUCCCAGCAAAUAUAGCUUUUCUAGUCAAGCGGGUCAUGAUUUAAGUCCAAUAGGUAAACUUCUGAUAAUACAACUAUAUCACUGUGAUUGCUUUCUCUCAUUAUCCGAAAAUCACAUGCUCCACCACUUGUGUGGACUUCGUCAAUUUUGUUGAGUUUCAUUAUUCUCACAAAGAAGAUUCAAACAGAAUCUUCAUUCUUUGCAAAUGUACUUUUUAAGCGAGCUACUUAACGCGUUAUUAAAUUUAAGAGUAAUAUUAAGAAGACUAAAUUUAUAGAUUAAAUGUAAACUAAAUGAUAUGUAAGUUGAUGAUUGAAAUAUUAUUUAAACGUUAAUAAACAUCCUUAUUUUUAUUAGUAACACAUUAUUUAGUUUAUAAUUUUAGUUUAACGUUAUUCUAAAUUUAAACUCAAAGUUUUUCUUCGAUUAAAAAAAUCCAUUGCUAAUAGAAGUGCAGAUUUCGGUUGGAGGAGUAAAAGUACGUGGGAACACAAGGAAGUUAUUGAUUAGGUAAAAGUUGCCGAACCCCAUAUAACGCGUUGCAUUUUCCAACUUUAAGUUUUUGGCAUCAAAGCAAUAGUCACUGAAACAUCCCAUGUGAAAAAAGUUGAGGGAUAUCUCAGAACUAGUACUCUUGUAGCAAAGCAAAACUAGUUCAUCCCCACAAUCCAAACUAUUUCUUCCUUUCUAUUUCUUUUCUGAUUUGCUGACUUCUUUCUUAAGGGUUUUGCUAUCCCUCACAUCUUUUUACUUUUCACAAACUACUCUUAAUUUUUAUUAUUGAAUCAAAUGAAUUAAAUAUAAUAAAAUUACAUAAAUUAACAAAGAGGUGUAUGAAAAAUAAAAUAAUAUGUGUCGAUAGUGCCACUCUUUUAAAAAACAAUAAUCAUAUAUGAACUAGGUUUACUAGGGAUUCGGAUUUCCCCCAUCCUCUUUCCAUCUCAUUCCAUUCUAUUCUCUCACAUUCUUUAUUUUAUCUUUCUCUUUCUAUAAAAAAUUAAUAUAAGAUGUCAAGGCUUAACCGUGACCAUUUAAAUAGAAGGGGAGGGAAUGUGAGAAAAAAAGAGGGGAGAGAAUCCUAUAGAACCCCAAAAAGAAGCCUAACGGUUGAAUUAUGUUUCCCUCAAAGACUUAAUUGCUUAGCUAAAUCAUAAAGACCAAACCACACUACAGUCAUGGAUCACAACAGAUUUUUCAGUGUAACCGUCACACGAGACGGGACACCACAUGUCCCUAUAUAAAUGGUGGGAUAUAUGUGUUAAAAGGUUAAUAAUUUAAAAAUUAAAAUUUUCCACCACUUACAUAAAAAUAUGCCGUGUACCAUCAAUGUUCCCGUCACAACAAAAAAAUUCUCAUGGAUCACAUUUUCCCUCCCUCGUGGCUCGAUUUCAAGGGUGUGGUUGAUCCUAGAGAACACAACAGAGUCACUGGCGACAAUGAGGAGGUAGGCUGGAUCGAUGUGGGAUAUUUUGUUUUUGCAAGGAGUGGUACGUUCUUGAGAAAAAAAGGGUAAAGUUGAAAUUGUUGGGGAAAAUUUUGAUGGUGGGGUGAUUUAACAAAUUAUGGGGUGUGAACAGAAUUUUAAUAUAAUAUAAAGAGAAAUUUUAUUUGAACUCAUAUAAUAUUACUUUACACUCAACUUAAAUCUUAAAUGUAAAUUAUUUUUUUACCUUAUUGCAUAAUUAUCAUCAGUACAAGAUAAACUCAUAAUACAAUUAAAAUUUAUCAAUAAAUACAAAAUCCAUUAAACAAACCCUUAGCAUCACACAAUCUUUAAUUAAUGCUCUAUUAUGGCUAAAGCCCUAAGACGAUCUCAUAGAGAAAAACAAGUUUUACGACCGAUAGAUGGUGAUUUUAAAAUUUUGGACCUUCCAAGUAAGAUAUGAAUUGAUUUAUGCAAAAAUAAAUUUUUUUUUUAAGGUUUUGGAGUGUAUUUGUGGAUGCAAAUUUCUUCCUCCUUGUUCUUGGACAAAAUUGCACCUACAAAACAAAUAACACCUUAGGUCAAGGCCAAGAGCCUCACGCUCCCAUGAUGAAUAGGGGGCUUUGGCCGAAAAACCUCUGAUGUGAAAGUUAGAAUUUUGAGGGAAAAGUGUUUGGAGAAUUUAGAGAAUUUAGCAAGAGCAUUGGAAUUGAGUUUUGGAGAGAAUGAUGAGGUUUUUAUAGGGGUGUGGCCGGCCCCUUUGGGAUAGAAAGGAUCGGCCACUUGGUUCAUUUUGUGGGCUAGGUUCUUGAUUUGUGUUUAAUUAGGAAUAAUUGAAUAAUAAAUCAAUUAAUUAGCUAAUUAAUAGAAUAAUUUCCUAAUUAAUUAUCUAAUUAAUAUAAUAAAAGGGGAAUGAUUUGGGAGUUACCUUGUGGAGAGGAUUAUGAGGAUGGAUGAAAUAGGUUUUGAAUUAUUACCUAGUUUGGGCAUUUUUGACUUGGUUGAAGGUUGAUUGCCCAUUGCUCGCGAGUAGGAAUCUUGGUAUGCCUUGAGGAUAAUUUUGUCAUUUUAACCCAAAAAUCCACGUUUCGCCUUAUGAUUAUUUUUUGCUCCACAAAUGCCCCCACACUUGCUGUGCUGCUCGCAGGAAAGUGCAACAGGUGUAGAGAUCUCAAACUUUGAUGUAGAUUCCCUUUUGGACUUGGAAUUAGAUUCUUCUAGGAAAGGGAAAUAAAUCGCCUCUAAAGCCUAUUUAAGCCUACCUUAAAUAGGAGAUUAAAUCAACUUCGGAGGGCAAUUAUUUAUCCCUACAAGAAAGAGAGAAAGCUAGAGGAUAUUUGUUCCCCCUCCCGUAGCACUCUUCUUUGCUUGCCUGUGCAAAGAACCGUCUUCCGUUGAUUUAUUUGUCAUCUUCACACUGCACGAUGUAAGAAAAACUUAAUUCUCCUUGUCUUCUUCUUGGGAGGUGCUGCCACAGGGUAGCCAUCGGGGUGGUGCGGCAUGUUAGCUGGCAAAGGCCAGGAGUCGGCUUGGCAUGGGCUAAGAAGGUGGUGUGGUAGGGGCCAUUGCUUGUGCUAUUUGGCAUGAUUAAAGCCAAGGAUUGGCUCGGCAUGGGCUGAGUGUCACAGCCCAUCCCGACAUAUUUAGUUUCAAUGGUGUGAAAUGUCUAAAUUGCCCUUGAACAUUGAGUUUGUUAUGUGGUGUUGUGGUUUAAGUUGGGUUUAAACUAAUUUUGUUAGUUCCUAAGUUUUUGGAACUUAAAGUUAGUAAAUUUUUUUGUGGUGAUUAAUGAACCAAAAUUGGACCACACACUCACACACACACACACACACACACACCUCCCGUUGACCUUCUUUCUCCUCCCUCUCGGAUCUUCUUCCAUUUCUAUACAACUUGUACGGACAACCUUCAAACCUUCACUUCUAGUCGCAGAUCGAAGCUGGGGAAGUGAUCUUUGUGUUCCUUGCAAGUCCAGGAGCUUAUCCAUACCAUUUUUGGUAAGUGAAACCCUCGAAAACCCGAGAAUUCAGAAUCUCAGUUUUGAUGCACUGUUCAUGUGGUCGUAAUUAUGGAUGUUUUAGGUGAUUUGAAGCUUUUAGGAAGUUGUAAAACAUCCCUACGAAGCUCGAAGAAGAAAAACCAAGUAAAUUGGACGUCGGGAAUGUGAGAUUAGCGAGUUUUAAGUUUGGCUUGAUUAUUGUGGAUUUUUCUGGCAAGAUCCUGUGAGUUUUACGUCUUAAAACUGGUAAGGAUUUGUUCUACUUGUCUUAAGCUUCAUUUUGGUAUAUAAUUCGUGAAUUUUAGUUGAAAAAUGAAGAAGUUACAAGGUUGUAAAGUUUUUCCAGUUUCCGGCGAAGGCGACGGUCGCCGGAGUUCGAAGGUAGGGGAUGACGGAAUAUUCUGUCAACUUUGACGGAAUAUUCCUAACAGCGUUGGUUAGUUUUAACGGUUUCUGUUACUUUUUAACGGAAUAUUCCUAACGGGGUUAAGGGAUUCUGUUAGGGUCCCUGCGCGUGGCCCUUGUUGACGUGUGACGGGGCGUGAGGGCUCCAAAAAUUAUUUUAAAAAUUUGGGGAUGUUUAUGGAGUUGUGUAGGUCACGAUGGUAUCUUUAUAUACCUCAAUUGAGCAAUGUAUGAGAAUUUAUUAGCUAGUAUUGGUUAUGUGCUUUAAAUUAAUGUUUUUAUAGUUGUUUCGCAUAUAGAGGAGACUUAUCCCGAGGACGAGCGCAGUCAAGGGCAAUUAGGGGGUUAUAACCCUUCGACAUACCAGUGAGUGGGCUUUUGGUUUUAAGUAUAUAUGUAUAUGCUUGGUAUCUUUCCCAAAAAAUGCAUUUAAAUGAGUUAUGACUUAAAUUGCCAUGCCAAAUGUUUUACAUUUAGAAUAUGCAUAUGAUGUUUGCAUAUAUAUAUAUAUAUAUAUAUAUAAUUGUGGUGUUAUGGACGCUCAGGUAAGUCCCAGGUGAGUUUAUGAAUUGUGAAUGUGAAUAAAGGUUGUGAUUAAUUGAGGAACAUUAAGCUCGUAAACCUGCACCGGUGUUUGUGAGUUAGUUAGAGAUAUGACACAUGCCUGCAUAUAUAUAAUGUCACCUCCGCACCAUAUGCUCACAUCGGAUCCAAUUUAGGUGCACAGUCUUGUUGUACAGACCAUCAUAGUUGGUUCCGACUCGUAGGUGACUAGCGAUUUAUCACACAACUAUCAUGAGAGAGUAGCACUGAGCAUAACUAUAUUACACCCAAUCCUGUUGUACAGACCAUUACAGUGGUUUCGACUCGUGUGCAGUGUAGUGCCGUAUAGGUCAUUUGCAGUGACUUCAGCUAGAUUGACUAAUGAGCUAUGAAUUCAGCCGUAUAGACUUCUGCAGGGGUUUCGGCUAAAUGUUAUUUUCCAUGAAUUUAUUUUCACAUGAGUUACUUAUUCUGUUUAUAUCUUGGCAUGACAUAUUUAUGAUUAUGGUGAUGUGAAGCAUGAUUUGAAUAUAUAUAUAUAUGUAUAUAUAUUUAUAUUUUAUUUAUGGGAAAAAUUAUACAUGUUUUACGGCGAGGGGUUAAAACAUUUGAAAGUUAAAUGUGUUUUCAAAACCUUUGUUUUUGCCCACUCACGUUUUCUGUUUUACGCCAAUCCAGGUUUUAGGUAGACUUACUGUUGGUGGCAUUUGAGGAUUCGACGGUUCUGACAAAAUAUAAUAUCCGUAUGACCUCUUCUGGUACUGUUUAACUAGUACUUGUCCACUGGACUGCACCUAGACUUUCUAUGCUCUGAUUAGGUGUAUUUAUACUUGUAUCUCAUUCCUAGCACUUUCUGCUUAUUAGUGCACAUUAGUAGCUUUCGAUUUUUAUUUAUUCGUAUAUUUCUUAUCUUUAUCGUUUUCGCAUUGUGCACAUGGCUAUGUCACCCUCACGUGAUGGCCAACACGCCUUGACUUUGGUCGGGGUGUGUCACCGAGGAAGUCGCGUGGCAUGGGUAACGGUUUGGGCUACCGCGUCUGAGUUGCUUGCCAAAAAUGAGGAAACUGCUUGAGUUUGAUUUCUCAGCUGCCGUAGAUGGAGCAAUCAAGGAUAAAGCUGCCAAGAUCAGAGUUACUAAAGAUGAAGUGUCGGAUGAGCGAAUUGUUAAGUGUAAAAGUGGCUGCUGCCCCCUGACCAUUUGCUGCCUAGUUGAUCUUUAAGCAUUCGAUCUUUUAAGCUAUGUGGCCUUCUCGUACUUGAGAGCUUACCUAGAUAGGUGUCAAGGAAUUAGUUUACCCUCUCUCAUUGGAGAGCAAUUAGUUUAUCCUUUUACAUUGGAGAGCAAACCCAUAUGGGUGUCUAGGAAUUGGUUUACCCUCUCGCACUGGAAAACAAUUUGUCCUAUCGCAUUGGAAAGCAUACCCAUAUGGGUGUUUGGGAAUUGGUUUACCAUUUCUCACUGGAGAGCAAUUAGUUUAUCCUCUUGCACUGGUAAACAUGCUCAUAUGGGUGUCGGGGAAUUAGUUUACCCUCUCGCACUAGAGAGCAAUUGGUUUAUCCUCUCGCAUUGGAGAGCAGACCCAUAUGGGUGUUGGGGAAUUAGUUUACCCUCUUUCACUGGAGAGCAAUUAGUUUAUCCUCUCGCACUGAAGAGCAGACACAUGUGGGUGUUAGGGAAUUGGUUUACCCUUUCACACUGGAGAGAACUUAGUUUAUCCUCUUGCACUGGAUACGGGUGUCGGGGAAUUGGUUUACCCUCUCACACUGGAGAGCAAUUAGUUUAUCCUCUCGCACUGGAGAGCAGACUCAUGUGGGUGUCAGGGAAUUGGUUUACCCUAUCGCACUAGAGAGCAAUUAGUUUAUCCUCUCGCGCUAGAGAGCAAACCUAUAUAGGUGUUAGGGAAUUAGUUUACCCUCUCGCACUGGAGAGCAUGAAAGUCAUUGUCGUGAGUGCAGUUGAGGAAAGAUAGACUGCUGGACAAUCAAAAUAAUCCUUAGCCUGCGAGGUCAUGUUUGGCUAUCUGCUUGAGACUUCGAACUGCUUGUGGAAUCCGCGUAAGGGUGUAAGCGUAGUGAGCUGCUCCCAGAAUUAUUGUGCCAUCAUUAAGUGUUUAGUCGUGUGCCCUUUUGAGGUUUGGUUAGCGCAAGCCAUAUGGCAAGAUCGGUAUGGCUAGGAGCUAUGGUGCAAGAUUGGCACAGUUAUGAGCCAUGGUGAUAGAUCAAUGGUUGUUAGGAGCCAUGAAGUAGGCAUGCACGGUUGUGUCCUUCUGGUACUCGUCUGCCCCCGGCGUGCCAUUAGGCUGAGUUACUGCGUUUGUUAAAGCAAAAGUAGUCUUUAUAUCCGGUAAUCUAUAUGGGGUAGUCCCAUUUGCUCGAUCUUGUCAUUGAAAGAUGACUCGCUUAUGUUGGUCAUCUCUCAUCAGAGCGUAUUGUCAAUAGCUUCGUUGCAUGGGAAAUCGUGCAAUCGCUCGGUCACGAGUUUUUCUACUUCUUCAUGAAUUUUCUUUUGUUGGGGGUGGCAAAGCUUUCGGCUACCCCCGGUUAUGACCUACUGGUCUAGGCUGCUCUUCAAUGUGUUCAGCUCGUCUAUGCCGUGACUACGGUGGGUAUGGUAUGUUCCUAGCAGGUGAGCAGGUAACUCGCAAGCUGCUGGUUGAACUUGAGUUGGAUUGAGUGACUGAUUCUCUCCGUCCGCUGUAUUGCCUACUUGGAUAUGAGGCGAAUGAUGCUUCUUGUGGGCCUUGCCGUGGAUGAACACUUCGCCUGAAAGGUUGCUCAUGUUGAUUAUUGGAGUGUGGCCCCAACCAUGAGUGUAUGCUUAUCUGUGGGCCUAACUGAGAGUGCACGUUCUUCCACACACUAAGACUGGUCAAGUGGCUGCUUACCAGGAUGCUGGUGGAGAGGUUCGUCUGCCCUUGUCCUUCUUCGAGACACCUCGUCCGGGGCACGUUGGAUCUCGGUGCAUUGCAAAAGUUGAUUCACCAAGGUUAUUUGUUGUGUAAGGGCGCUUGUUAGCUCUAUGACUUGUCGAGACAAGUAUUAUUCGCCAUUUGGAUUGGAAGAGUUUAGAAGGAAUAUGUUUCCUUGAGUAGUGAAAGUGUGGUAGGCUCCAGGCACGAGAUUUGAAUUGGGAAAUGUCAAAUCCGCGGAGAAACGUUUAUAGGAGCAUAUUUAUGCGACUUAGUUAGCUUGUUUUCUUGCAUUUACAUAGUUAGUUUAUGCUUAUUAUAGUGAUUUAAGCUAUUUUCGUGUGUUUGUAGGUCCAAAUGACAAAGUUGGCAAGAAAGUGCAUUUUGGAGCAUUUUAGAGCAGUUUUAGGCUGGAAUGGAUAACUUACAUAUGGAGCACAAGGAAUGGAUGAAUUUGAAGUCAAGAUAGGCUAAGAAUGUGCUGAAAAGAUGAAGAAAAUAAAUCCAAGACAAAGAAGAUAAGGAAUCAGCUAAAAGGAAGGAAUAUUAUCCAAAACCUUAUCCAAUCUUAUCUUAUCCAAAUAUCCUUAUCUUAUCUUAUCCUAACCUUAUCCUAAUAUAUCUUAUUUCCAUCUGCAAGGGGGAAUUAUUUUCAGUUUACGACACCUAAAUGCAUAUUUCUAGAAGCCUUAACAUAAUCCUACAAAUCAGCCGCACCUAGCCUUUCUAGAAGCCAUGUUUCCUGCCACUAAACGUAUUCCUAAUUAUUCCUGGUUUCUGCUAUUUAGUUAACCUUUUUCCUUGGGGAUUUGGAGUGUCAAUCCUUCUCCAAAGCUACCUAGGCCGUGCCUUUUUCUCCCUAUAAAUACAAGUGGUGCCGCACAAUUAAAAACACCACGCCCCACAUAAUUCGACAGCACUAUCUACCAUACAAUUCACUCCAAAACACAGAAAUUUAUCAAGUAACGCAGCAAGGAAGGAAGGGAGAAAGUUAGAGCCGUGACUUGCCAUUCAAUCUUUGGAGUGUUGGAGAGUUUCUGGGUUCUUUCUAUAUUUAGUUUUAGUUCAAUGUUUGUUUUAAUUUGGUUUUAUGUUUUCAAAGACGUGAGGAACUAAUUUCUUUUUAGUUAGAGGUGAAUUCGAAGCCAUGAUUAUAUGUUUUAUAUGAAUUGAUUACAUCCAAUUAUUGUUUCUAGAGUCUUGAAUGUGAUUUGCUUAUCUGAGUUAUUAAAACUUGUUUAUGUAUGUAGACUGAGGGUCGACACUUAAUUUGCAUGCAUGAAUUUGAUGCUAAAGUAUAAGGGAGUUUUACCUAAUCGUUAUGAACUUAUAUUCACAAGUAGUGGAAGUCACUAGUCAUGAUUGUGUUAAGUAAAUUCUUGGCAGGAGUAUCAUGCUUUUCAUAGUUACGAAUGCCUCGUCAAUGCUUAUGGUUUUCAAAGAACUUAAUGACCUUUGAUAUGUCUUUCUAUCAUGCUUUUCAUAGUUAGGGAACUUGAUAAGGAUACUUUGGUUGCGAUGCGUAUUCCAUCCAAUUCAAUGAAUUAAGGAAAAUCUAAUGGUUAAUUUGUGCUAUCGCGGUUAACUUGGGGUGUUGUCAUUCAUGGUUUAAAGAAACAAUACUGGAAAUCAAUUUAUGUGCAUGUGUUUCAUGUGUGGAGAAGGACCCUCUAACUAGCUUUUCACCCUUGAAUUCACCUUAAUUUCAUUUUAACUUACUUGGUUUGCUGCAAUUUACUUAGUUUUGUCAAAUUCGUUCAAAAACCCCCUCAGUUUUUAUUUGGUGUCUUAGUUUAGUUAAUUUCGUUCAAAUCUGUCCCCAUUUAGUAUUUUGAGUCAAGUUAGUUUAGAAUUCGUCCAAAUCACUCUUUAGUAUUUGUUUUGAGUCUUUUUAACUUAGUUUUGCUGUUUUGAGUCAAUUUGGUUAGUUUUGAGUCAUAAGAGUCUAGUUUAGUGUUUUCAAGCCUAGUUAAGUCUUUUUGAGUUAAAUUUGAGUAGAUUAGCAUCCCUUAUAAUCCCCAGCCUAAAACGAUCUCUACUUACAUAAACUACAACCAUAGGGUUUUAAUUUGAGUGUUAGUUAAUUUCACAUCAAACGUGGUGAAAAUGCCUUGGUUUGAUAGUUGGUCUGGAUGGUUGAGAUAGUCUUGGGCUGAUUUGGGCUGCUUGGAAUGUCGCGGGAGCAGGCUGGGCCACGAGAGAAGGCUGCUCAGCGAAAGCAAGCUGGGCUAUGGGAGUGGGCUACUCGGUGUAUGAUGCACGAGGGUGAGAGGCUUGGGCUCGGCUUGGCAAUGUGUUGGGGUCGCGUUGGGCGUGGAGCGACAUGGCUUGGGUUGUGACUUUAGUGCCGUGAGCUGCCUUGGAUGGCACGGCUCGGGCCGUGGUGGUGACACCAUGGACCUCACCGCAGGUGGCUACCGUGGUAGCCACCGCGGUGGUGGUGCCGCUUCACCUAUUGUCACAUUUAGCCUAGUGGAUCGCUGUGGUCCCAUCUCUUGAAUGUUGAAAUUUUCAUUUGUUGAAUUUUCUUAAUUUCUAGCCAUUGUACUUCUCUUUUACGUUUUAUCAAAGAAUUUUUGCAAAUAAAAAAUUCUAAUAAUAAGAACGUACGAUAAAUCUACAAAUGGACAAGAAAAUAGAAAGCCUUGGAUGCGAGAGUCUUCUACGAGUGUGGGACUCAACUCUCAAUGAAAUCACCAAUUUGUGGAUUCAAAUUUCUUCCUCCAUGUUCUUGGACAAAAUUGCACCUGCAAAACAAAUAACACCUUAGGUCAAGGCCAAGAGCCUCAUGUGCCCAUGAUGAAUAGGGGGCUUUGGCCGAAGAACCUCCGAUGCCAAAGUUAGAAUUUUGAGGGAAAAAUAUUUGGAGAAUUUAGAGAACUUAGCAAGAGCAUUGAAAUUGAGUUUUGGAAAGAAUGAUGAAGUUUUUAUAGGGGUGUGGCCCGCCCCUUUGGGAUAGAAACGAUCGGCCACUUGGUUCUUUUUGUGGGUUAGGUUCUUGAUUUUUGUUUAAUUAGGAAUAAUUGAAUAAUAAAUCAAUUAAUUAGCUAAUUAAUAGAAUAAUUUCCUAAUUAAUUAAUAUAAGAAAAGGGGAAUGAUUUGGGAGUUACCUUGUGGAGAGGAUUUGAUGAGGAUGGAUGAAAUAGGUUUUGAAUUAUUACCUAUUUUGACCACUUUUGACUUGGUUGAGGGUUGAUUGCCCACUGCUCGCGUGUAGGAAUCCUGGUAUGCCUCGAGGGUAAUUUUGUCCUUUUAACCCAAAAAUCCACGUGUUGCCUUAUAAUUAUUUUUGGCUCCACAAUAUUGUCUGCAUAAAAAGACUUUGUUAGCCCAAGUUUGUCAGUGCAAAACAAGAGAGAAAAAAAGAUUUAGACCCUAGCUUUUAAUGUGAAAAAAAUGAGGAGUUGUAAAGGAAAAAUGGCCUUUGAUUGGUAGAAUCAUGUUGAAAUUAACGUUGCAGCCAUGAGAUUUUCCAUGGAUUGUGCAUGCUUAAUUCUGCAAUAAUCAAACCCUUACAAUGACACAAUUUUUAACCAACAUUCUAUUCUGGCUAAAACCUUAAGACGUUCUCCUAGAGAAAAACAAGCUCUUUUGACCAAUGGAUAAUGAUUUUAAAGUUUUGGAUCCUCCAACUAAGGUAUGAAUUGAUUUAUACAAGUUUUUUAUUUUUUUAUUUUUUGUUUAAUUUCAAGGGUUUUAAGGUUUAGGUGUGUAUUGCCUAGAAAAAAAGGACAUUGUUAGUCCAAGUCUGUGUGUGCGAAACAAAAGAAAGAAAGAAAAUGAAGAAUUUAUGCCCUAGUUUUAAUUGUGAGGUAGAGGGGGAGUUGUAAAGGAAAAGGAUCUUUGAUUGGUGGAAUUUAUGCUGAAACUAAGGUUUAGCCAUGCGACUUUCCAUGGACUCUGCAGUCUCCAAUCCAUGGUUGCAGUUGUGCGUUUUUGUUUUGUAAUGCUUGCGAAACUGUUUGAUCAGCAACUACCAAAUAAAUUAGAACGACUUUGAUUUUCAUUUUUUAAAUGGUUGUAAAGAUAAAUUUAUAUAUUGAAUUGAGUUUGUGAUGGUAGUUUAGGUAGUAAGUUUGGGUUUAAAGAGAUAUUGAUAAUUGAAUUAAAAAUAACAUGGGUGUAGAGAGUAAGUAAGGUGUAGAGUGCAGUUAUAUGGAUCCAAAUAAAACUUUUCUAAUGUCAUGCGUAAGUCUUCUUUCACAUGGCAAAACGUUACUUGGUUAUGAUGCGAUGUAAAUAAAUCUUUGAGGAAGAUGAAACUUAGACGGAAGUCACGAAAUUUGUUCCCACCAUCUAUACUGGAUCUUAGCCAAGGUAUAAAAUAUCGAUAAUAUCGGAAAUAUCGGUAGUUCAAAAAUACGGAAAUUUCGACGGAAAUAUCGGGAUAUUAUCGAUAUCGAUAAAAAUUGAAUAAAAACCACGGAAAUUGUAAGCAAAACUUGGAAAUUUUUAUUGAAACUUUGCAGGAUGUUUAUUUAGUCAAUUAUCUAUUAGUUUAUCACAAAAAAUUGGAAGGAAAUGCAUUGCAUGAUGUAUUUAACUGAUUUAAGUUGAUUAUAUAGCAAGCUGGCAAACAUUGUGAGUGUAGAAAAUAUGUAGUAAUUAAUAAAAGAAGUUUAAACACACCAUAAUCAUUUAUAUAUAAUGAAUUAGUACAAUAUUUUACACUUUUAUACAUUGCAUGAUAAGAUACAUGAAUGACUUAGUACCACACAGAGUUCCUAUGAGAUUCAAAUUUUUCACUAUCUUCAUCAUCUCUAUGUGUAGAGUAAAUGUAUUGUGAAGAGUAGUCAUCAAAUGAUAAAUCUCCAAAAUAGUUUUGCAUGUAAUUGUUAACAUGCCACCCAUAUGGAUCCGAGAUUGGUUGACGUUGUCCAUAAGCAAAAUCAUUUGAAGAUUGAGUCUCAGAUUCUUUCCAUGAGUCACUCGAUUCCAUUCCAACAAGAAUGAGAUAUGAAGGGCAGGGAAAUGGUUGGUUAUGAGUAUAACCACAGUUACUACUUCCCACUCCAACAGAGUCCGAAGUUAUAGAUAACGAGUCAUCUUCUUGACUUGACAAAAUCCUCUUGUCUCUUUCUCUACGAGUAUAGUCCUUUCCUAUGGCACAAAUUCCUGGUCCUGCCCGCCUACUGCCAUGAUCCUCAUCCUGUGUUGCAUGAGUGAAGUUUGCCUCACCAGUGAAGGGGCUCAUAAAUCCGGGAGGUGGUCAAACAUAGUUUCCAUAUCCACCACUACCUCCAGCUCCACUAUAUCCUUCAUCAUUCCCACCUCUGGUGGUAGGUGAGUUUCCUGAUCUUGUACUAGAGCUAUCAUUAGUAUCAGCAUGAUCUUGUGGUUGUGUACGAUUGGAAGAAGGUGGAAUUCCAGUGUUUCUUGGUCUUGGACGCAAAAGUUCUUCCAAAGAGUCAGCGCUGCUAGAUCCCACCUCCUCCUCUAAUACUCUUUCUACAUUUAUCCCUUCAUUACGUGCUUCUUCAGCAACUCUCGGAGCUGGGUUGCCUUCAUCAUCAUCUAAUUGAAGAGGUCUAAUCCAUUGAUAAAGUUGGUUACCCACUGUAUCAUCAUCUUCAGCAACAAUAUCAAACACAUCUAGUGGGUCACCAGGGUCGACAUGAUCUAUUUCUGCUUCCUUAUCUCGAAUUUGAAGCUUCAUGUUGUAGUAGCAAUAAACUAAUUUUUCCAACCUGCUAUGAGCCAACCUAUUUCUUUGCUUUGUGUGUAUGAGUGCAGAUGUACUCCAAUUUCUUUCACAAGUAGAUGAGGAAGCUGUUUGUGAUAAUACUUUGAUUGCUAACUUUCUCACAGUUGGUGCAUCAAUCUCAUACAUGAUCCACCAUUCAGCUAUAAUGAAAAACAAUGUUGAUAAGCCUAAUAACUCCAACAAAUUCUAUUAUAAACUUAUAGUGAAAUAUGUUUACACUAAUUAGGAGACAUUUUUGUUCAAGUAGCAACUGAUGUUGGUUCUCCAAAAGUUAUUUUUGCAUCUUAAAACCAUGUUAGCUGAAUUCAAUAAAUCGUGUUAGUUUAAUCCAACAAUGUAAUUAUUAUAAUUUAAGUAAUUGUGUACCUCAUUUCCAAAUUGGCCAACUGCUGGUGAUGCAGGGUCCAAUUUAGAGUAUACAUUAUGUACAACACGUAUAAGGGUACCAUCAUCUCCAACACCGAGUCUGUAUUGGUAUCCAGGAUUCAAAUAAUAUGUUGUUCAAAGAAACACAUACUCUAAUAAGAGAAAUAACACUUAUGCAACUAAAGAAAUGAAUUGCAAAUUAUGACAUAAUUUAUACCUGCUGCAUGCAAAUCGUGGUAUAAUGUUUUAUACCAUCGGUCAUCAAUUAUCUUUAUGACCCACCUUGCACCAUGUUUACUUUCCAAGUCAUCCUUCACUACACGCAUCAACUCAUAUAUUGCCCUCAUAGUAGGAUACACUUCUGAGUCAACGAUCCGUAAAACUUUGUAAAGAAGUUCAAACACUUGGCACACAUGUUCUGAUUGAGUCCAAAAAGCAUGAUCAAACAUUAUACUUUCCACCAUAUGACUUGCAUUUGAGUGGCUGAAAUUGUGGUUGGCCCAAUCAUCACUAGUGAAUAGUUGCUUCAACCUUACUUUCUUCUUAAGUAGGCUGUCUAAUGCAAUAUAGUUGGUGGCGAAUCAAGUGGUAGCUGGACGAAUAAUUUCUCCUUUGCAAAAUUCACGCAUUUUUGCCAACAACCAACCGUGAUUAUUUAUAUAAUUUGUGAUCGUUCUAGCUCUUUUUACGACGGUAGCAAUAUUCUCUCUCUUCCCCAUUGCCUCAAAUAUGAGAUCAAUACAAUGUGCUGCACAUGAUGUCCAAAACACAUUAUGAUGCUUCAUUAACUUUUUUCCAGCUUUGACAAAUGCAAAACCGUUGUCGGCCACAACCUGGACAACAUUAUGCUCUCCCACCUCCAUGAUUACAUCCCUCAAUAAUUUGUAAAUAUACUUGUAGUUUUUUAUAUGGUCUGAAGCAUCAAUGGACUUAAAAAAAAAUUGUCUUUCCCUUGGAGUAUACCAUUUUAUGAUAGACAAUUUGGUCGGGCCAGUCCAUCUGUCACACAUGAUUGUGCAACCAUUAGUUUUCCACUUUGACCUCAACUUGUUAACAUACUUGCCAAUGUCUUUAUACUCCAUUUUCAAAUAUUUGUUUCUUACCUCAUAGGGAGUGGGAGGUUGUACUCCAACAUCGGCCUGUUAACAUCCCAAUACCAUAUUUUUGAAAUGAUGUGAAGAUGUCUUCUUAGCAGGGACAUUUUCAUAGAUAAAGAACUUGCUAAUUAGAUGCCCCAUUCCCUCCUUCACAUUACCUCCAGUGAAAUAACUCCAAACACUCUUUUGACGUGCUUUGGAUGACUUAUAUAACCUUGGGGCUUUUGGUGGUGUUGGUUGUGAUUCUCUAACACUUGCUCCCCGUCUCAUUUGUGCACCACCACUUGUCCAGGAACCUUAUGCUCUAUUAGGAAUUUUAUGAAGGUGUUCUCUUUCCCAUGCUGACUGUUUGGAGGCACGUAAUGCUUGUUUGAAAUUGCGUUGUUCUUCAGGUCCCAUGUCAUCAUCACAUUUGUCCUCAUCGUCAUCAUCAUCACUGUCAACCGCUUGGCCAAUGACUUCUCCUCGUAGCCCAGCUCGAAUAUUUUCCAUUCCAUGUGUUUUCUUUUCCUUCUGGUGUUUUUUAUUUUUUUAAUAAUGUGAUGAUAAAUGCCUUCACUUCUGGGGGGACAUUAUCGCAUGGUUGGACAUUAUUUCCUGGAUCUAAUCCACUAAGAUCAUACUUAAGUCGUGUCACUCCACCACUCUUCAUUACCCGACCACAAUAUUUGCAAAUUGUGCCAUGUUUGUUUCCAUCUAUUGGGUCUCCAUGUUCCCAAGCUGGAUCACGUUUAGUAACUCCACUAUACAUCUUAAACGUACAUAUAUUUAUUUUUCAUGGAAAUUAGGCAAUUAUUUUUUGGCCAAAAAAUAUAGUAGUGACGGUUAUAUAAGAGAACCUAAAUAAUAAAGUUAUUCUACAGAGGAAUUAAAUAGGAAGUAAAGAAAAUGAUUGUAAGAAUUUAAGUAAUUAUAAAAAUAAUAUGGAAUAAUAAAACCUAAUAUUAAUGAAUAAUAAUCCAAUUUGAUAAUAAAAUAAUAUAACAUUAAACACAUUAAAAUUAUCCUAGGGACUAAUUAUACAACAUUACUUAAUUACUUCAAAAAAUUAACAUGGAAGUAUUAUUUGGUUCUUAGAUCACAUGCACGGGUCCACACAAUUUUUUUUUGUUGUAUAAAUUAAAAUAAUAUAAAUAUAAGUUUGUAAACUUACCUUAAAUAUGGAACCCUUUGUGUAAAGGCCAAAUAGAAUUUGCGUGGACCAACAAUAAAAUAAUAAUUACACAAAUGUAACAAAUCUGGAACUUUCGAUGUCGUACGUAGCAGCAGAACCUCGACGAUCCUUUGCAGCUUGCCGUCUGUGAAUAAAUGACAGAGAAAGAAGGUAUUUAACAUUUAAUUUGAAGUGGCACGAGCUGCAGAUCCAUUUAUUCAGUUUGAAGGUCUGAAAGGGCUCUGGAAAGGUUCUGAAAGGGCUAAGGGAAGAAGAAGAAACGAAAAGGUGUAAUAGAGGUUUUUCAAUUUUCGAAGGGUCAAAGUCGUCAAAAGUUUGAGAUUUAUACAUACAUACAUAUAUAUAUAUAUAUAUAUAUAUAUAUAUAUAUAUAUAUAUAUACCGUUUAGAUUUAUAUAUAGAGUUUAGGGGAUUAAAGAUAUUUCAAAGGCAUCACGUGGGGACAAAAUCAAAAGCAACAAUUCUUUUGGUUCAACUCUUACAUGCACAAGGGCUUCACGUGGAUAAGAAAUAAAGAUAGCAGAUUUUUUGGUUCAUUUUGAUGUGAAAAAAGGGCUUCACGUGGAUAAGAAGAUAAAGAUAGCAGAUUUUUUGGUUCUUUUGAGCAAAGUCAAGUCGACAUAAUGUUUGAAGAUAAAGAUAGCAGAUUUUUUGCUUUUAAAAUUGUUUUUUAGUCUUAAUAGGUGUGCCACGAGGCCCACCUUUGUUUGUUGUUCCUCGGGUGGUCUAAGCCUAACUCGUCUCUCUCUCUCUCUCUCUCUUCUCUUUCCCUCCUUCACACUCUCUUCCUUUUCCUCUUCUUCCCUGAGCCUCUGUGUUCUCUCAUCUUCCCGUCGAACACACACACACACCCAGUCACCGCACACCCUUCGUAGUACUCCGUCAACGGCAUAUCAUCACCAUCUAAACCUCGUCUUUCUCUCCUUUUCUCUCAGUGUAGCUAUGACAGUGGAACCCAAGAACUCUCCGGCGAGUUCUGUUGAUCCUUCUCUGGUUAGGUAAGCCUCGGUUAUCUCAAUUCAUCUUGGAUGUUGUGUGGUUGAGAUAUACUAAGUUUUAUCGUUUUUUUAACAAGGUUUUAGAACAAGAUCAACCCGGUGGAAGGCACACCCAGCUCCGGCAAGGCCGUGAGUGUCGAGGAACUUUCCGAACACCACCGUUUCACGGCAAACAGAAGUUAUAAAAACAUUCCUCUCGUCUUGUGUUUCAUUUUGAUACCUAGAUCAGAGUCUAGGGUGCUCUUCUCCAAUUCGUACCAGGCCUAAAAUAUUGCGAUAUUAUUGAUAUUAUCGCGAUAUUAUCGAUAAUAUCAAUAAUAUCGCGAUAUUUUUACAAUAAUUCAGUGGAUAAGUGUGAAAAUAUCGCUCUCCCACAAAAAUGAUAUUAUAACCGAAAUACGCUGAUAAUAUCGACAUUUCAGACCAUGACCUUAGCCAAAAGGCUAAGUUUCGGUGCAUCGCACCGCACCUAAUCAGCGCCCAUAUGGGCCUUUGUUUUGGGUCCUUUUUUUUUCCAGCUCGUUUGUUGCUGCUGGGCUUGCAGCCCCUUGGCCUGAUCAGCCUGUACUCUUUUUUCCAGCCCAGAUUUUAGGCCUGGGCCGCACGACCGUAAUUACUUAGCCCACCCGUGGGCUUUGGUCCACUGUUUUGGGCCCCAAGUUUUAAUUACCUAUUUUUUUUCGGCACUUUUGAGUUUUAUAAUUUUUCACCCACACUUUAAUUUUGGCCCAAAAUCUAAAUAAUUAAUUCAGUUAUAAUUCUAGACCCAAAGAUCUAUUUGCAUAUUUCUUGUUGCAUAUUAUAUAUAUAUAUAUAUAUAUAUAUAUAUAUAAUAUAUUUGUGUUUAUCUGCAGGAACAUAUGAACUUGAAGUUCAUAAUUUUUUCGAAACCUGAAAUUUCUAGAAAACAUGCCUUAUUUGAAAACCUGAAGUUUUCCUUAAAACAUCACCCAUGAAAACCCGAAAUUUUUUUCAUGUAACUUUAAACCAUUGUCUAUUGAUUUUCUCCAUUACACUAACAACAUUCUUGUCCAUUUAUUUUGUGAUAAAGACAUGUCAAAUUUGAACAAACUCAACUUCACCGCUUUAGAGGUCUUUGGAAAAAAACUACCUCAAGUGGGUCCAAAUGUGAAGCUCCACCUCAUCGCAAAGAAUUUGCGCCCAGUCAUUGAAGAUGAGACAGACAACCCGGUUGGCAAAACUGAGAAAGCCACUGCCAUAAUCUUUAUCCGAAGACACAUUCAUGAUGCACUGCAAACCGAGUAGCUUGCUAAGGAAGAUCCACGAGCAUUUUGGGUUGCUUUGGCUGAUCGCUUUGAUCACCAAAAUGACAUCUUCUUAGCUAAAGCAAGACAUGAUUGGUAGCAUCUACACUUCUAAGACUUUAAGUCUACAAAUGAAUAUAAUUCUGAAGUUUGUCGAAUCCGAUCACUUCUCAAGUUUUGUAACGAGAACUGGACUGAAGAGGAUCUCCUGGAGAAGAUAUAUUCGACCUUCUCUGCUGCCAAUAUUGUCCUGCAGCAACAAUAUAGGGCUCAGAAGUUCACUAAGUUUUAGGAUUUGAUCUCUGUUUUACUUCUCGCUAAAAAGCAGAAUAAGUUGUUGAUGAAGAAUCAUCAAGCUCGACCUACUAGGGCAACUGCUAUGCUUGAAACACAUUAUAGCACAAACAAUUUCCCAAAACGCCAACAUAGGGGUGGUAAAGGCGGUCAGAAGCCACCCCAUCAAGGUCAACAGAGCCAAAGCCUAUCUAAGGGAGGAAACCGAGCCCAUAAGCAUUCUAACCUCGCUCCCAAGGCCCUGAACUUCAUGAAUAAGGGCAAAGCACUGACACCAUGGAUGCGAACAUGUGCUAUCGUUGUGGUUCAAAUGACCAUUGGCCGUCGUGCUCCCUCGACAGUUUGUAGCUGAAUAUCAUUCUUGUCGUAAGAAGUUUGAAUCGAACUUUAUGCAAGUGGAUGAACUAGAGAGUACCAAAAUGGAGGUUUCUGAUUUUCAAGAGGCUAUUACCUCUAUGGAAGAUUAGAAUCUUAUACAUAAAUUAUUUUUAGUUGAGUUUAGAACCUUGGGGGGCCGAAUUUCACCUAGUGGCCAAACCCUCCUUGUUUUUUGUUCAAGUUUGAAUAAUUUUCCUUUAUGUUUGGAUUAUUUGUUGGUGAUUUUUUUUUUUUUGGAUAUUAAGUCUUUUUAAUUACCAUCCUUGAAUACUUAAAUUAUUUUGAAUGGAUAUUUAUCUUUUAGAACUUUUAUGCAUGUGACAUAUUGAAAUUAAUUUUUAUUCCUAGGUAUGACUAAUGAGAAAGUUAGUUGUUUGGCAGAUAGUGCAACCAUACACACUGUUUUGCUUAUCGUACCUAAGAAUGCACUUCUGACAACCUUCUUAGGCUCAUCCAACCUAAUCGAAGGAUACGGUAAGAAACGAAUAAUGUUGUCUAGAUGAGGCACUUUAUUUUUCACGUUCCGAAAGAACGUUGUUGAGUUUCAAGGACAUUCGAGACAAUAAUUACCACACUUAAACCUAUGUAGAAAAUGGAGUUGAAUUUAUAUGCAUCACUUCCUACGAAUAUGACCAGAAGCGUAUUCUAGAGAAGAUGCAGCGUAUCUCAAGUGGUCUGUAUACUACAACCAUACGUUCUAUAGAAAGCCACUAUGUGGUCGGUCCUACCUCUGAGACUGCACACCAAAUUACACUUUGGCAUGAUCGUUUAGGACACCAUGGACGAACAGCGAUGCGUUGUAUCUUCAAAUAUUCACACGGACAUCCACUAUCCCGAAGUUUAGGUUGAUUCAAGGAAUCGCAUGUCAAACCUGCUCAAUGGGAAAACUUAUCAUUAAGCAUUCUUAUAACAAGAUUCGUUCGAAUCCUCCUACUUUUCUACAAAUGAUUCAGGGGGACAUUUGUGGAGCGAUUCAUCCUCUCUGCUGACCAUUUAGAUAUUUUAUGGUAUUGGUUGACGCCCCCACACAUUGGUCACAUGUGUGCUUGUUGUCCAAAAAAAUGUUGCAUUCUCUAAACUGUUGGCUCAAGUUAUCAAGCUCAGGGCUCACCACCCUGAUUAUCCGAUUAAAUCUAUUCGAUUGGAUAAUGUUGGAGAAUUCACAUCUAAAACUUUUGAUGGCUAUUGCAUAUCAGUUGGGGUUGAAGUUGAACAUCCAGUACCCUAUGUUCACACUCACAACGGCUUGGUAGAGGCGUUCAUUAAGUGCUUACAAAUGAUUGCUAGAUCGUUCGUCAUAUGUACCAAGUCCUGAUCGCUACUUGAGGCCAUGUAAUAUUUCACGCAACCAUGUUGGUCUGCCUGAGGCCUAUUGUGACCCAACCAUAUAGCGCACUUCAGUUGGUUACCGGAUACGAACCCAACAUAUCACAUAUACGAGAUUUUGGUUUUUAGGUUGUGAGAUCUAUGUGCUGAUCUCGCAGCCAUUAUGAACAAAAAUGGGGCCUCCGCGAAGGAUGGAUAUCUAUGUCGGAUAUGGUUAUCCUUCAAUUAUUUGUUACUUAAAACCUUGUACAAGCGAUAUUUUUACUGCUCAUUUCAUGGAUUGUCACUUCUAUGAGACAAUCUUCUCGUUGUUAAAGGGAGAUAAAAACGUCACCGUUCCUGAAGAAUAACACGAAUUAUCUUAGAUGACUCCCACUUUGUCUCAUUUAGCCCCAUACCGCUCAGUCUGAAACUGAAGUGCAACGUAUAUUAGGUCUUCAUAGAGUAGCUCAGAGCAUGCCAGAUGCUUUAACAAAUUUGGCAUGAGUGACAAGAUCACAUAUUCCCGAUGUAAAUGUGCUUGCAAAAAUGAAUGUACCAAAUGUACGAUGGACUUCCCUCCUGGAGGCCUCGGACGCCACUUUGACCGAUCCAUGUACAUUAGCGGUUAGCCAAUUCGCUACCCCUACACAAAAGCGUGGAAGACCUCUUGGUUCAAAAGAUUCACAACCACAGAAGAGGAAACCCACAACAUAGGCUGUUGAGCUUACUGUGAACUGUUACUUACUCAUUCUAUCCAACUCAUGAGGAAAUUCUAGAUUACGGAAGUAUCCUUGAAGAGAAGAAUCCAUCUCCUGAGAAUCGAGAGAUUUCGGUCUAUUGUGCUAGCUUGGAUGAUGUUUGAUGUAGAAAUGAGAUGAUUAUCGAUGAUGCAUUAACAUUUGCAGUAGCUAUUAAGAUCAUGUUGAACGAUGACAUUGAACCCCAUUCUGUUGAUUAAUGUUGACGUAGAACUGAUUAGUCAAAUUGGAAACAAGCAAUCUAAGUCGAACUCAAUUCGCUUGCGAAACGUAAGAUGUUUGGACCUGUAACUCUUACUCCUCCACAUGUGAAGCCCGUUAGCUACAAGUGGGUUUUCGUUAGAAAGUGUAAUGAAAAGAACAAAAUUGUGCAUUACAAAGCUCGUCUUGUUGCGCAAGGCUUCUCACAAUGCCCCGAGAUUGACUAUGGGAAACUUAUUUACCGGUUAUGGAUGUUAUUACUUUUCGAUACCUUAUCAGUUCUGUAGUUUCUGAAAAAAUUGAGUAUGCAGCUGAUGGACGUAGUAAUUGCGCAUCUCUAUGGAGAUCUUAAGGAAAUUUAUAUGAAAGUUCCCGAAGGACUUACAUUGAUUAGAUUAAAUAUUUUCAAAACCCAGAACGCGCUCUCAAUUUGACUGAGGCGUUCACUAUAUAGUUUGAAACAAUCCGGAAGAAUGUGGUAUAACCGUCUAAGUGAGUAUUUGACUAGUCAGGGAUAUAUGAGCAACGAACUCUGCCCUUGCGUGUUUAUUAAGAAGCCACAUUCUGGUUUUACAAUUGUUGCAGUUUAUGUUGACGACAAGAACCUUAUAGGAACUCUUGAAGAGCUCAAGAGAACUGCCGCGCACCUGAAGUCAGAAUUUGAGAUGAAGACUAGGAAAUACUCGAUAUUAUCUCAAUCUCGAGAUAGAGCAUUGUUCGAAUGGAAUCUUAGUACAUCAAUCGAACUACACCCAGAAGAUGUUGCGUCGCUUUAACGAGGAUAAAGUGAAGCCUUCGAGUACUCCUAUGGUUAUAUGACCGCUAGGUGAAAAAUGAGAUCCCUUUCGUCCGAAAGAGGAUGAUGAAGAGAUUUUGAAACUCGAAGUUCCUAAUCUAAGUUCCUAAUCUAAGUAUGAUAGGCAUUUUAUUGUACUUAGCUCAAAGCACUAGACCCGACCUUUCAUUUGUUGUUAAUAUUUUAGCAAGAUACAGUAAUGCAUCGACACACAGACACUGGAUUGGUGUUAAAGACAUCUUCCGCUACCUUAAGGGUACUACGGAUAUGGGCCUAUUCUAUCCCUACGGAUCCUCAAGUGAUGCCGCACCCUUAUCUCGAGUUGAUUAUCUCAUUGUUAGUUAUGCCGACGUAGGUUACUUAUCUGACCCGUAGAAAGCGCGUUUUCAAACGAGUUAUGUCUUUACCGUAGGAAGCACUGCAAUAUCUUGAAGGUCAACUAAAGAGACCUUAGUUGCCACUUCGUCUAACCAUGCUGAUAUACUCGCCUUACAAAAAGCUACUCAGGAAUGCUUUUGGUUGAGAGCAAUUGUGGGCUAUAUUCGAAGCUCUUGCAAUCUUUACAUAGUCGUUGACGUCUCAACAAUGAUCUAUGAAUAUAACGCAACAUGCAUGGAACAACUCAAGAAGGGUUAUACCAAAUAAGACAACACCAAGCACAUUGCGCUGAAAUUCUUCUUUUCACAUCAACAACAAGAACAUCAGAAGAUUGAAGUCAAGCAAAUCCAUUCACAAAACAAUCUGGUCGACCUUUUCACCAAAUCACUACCAAAGGCGACGUUUCAGAAGCUUGUUCAAGGAAUAAGUAUGCGUAAACUUUCUGAGUUGUAACAUUGUUAGUUCUCUUUGGAAUUAUGUCGAACUCAGGGGGAGUAUCUUGAAGUAUACUUGCUUGAUCUUAAUGUACUCUUUUUCCUUACGAUUAGGAGCAUUUUUCCCUUUGGGUUUUUGCUACCUAACGAGGUUUUGACAAGGCACCUACCUUGGGUUGAGCAUAUCCCUAAUGAUGUCAUGUAGACAUUUCAUUUGACUUUGCAUUUUGUCACAUACUUUUCCUUAGACUAUGAGUUUUGUUCCUACUUGGGUUUUACCAUAGUCAUUGGGUUUUUUGUGAGACUUAGUUCCAUGUGCAAGUUCCUACUUUGUUUAAGACUAGUGUUGUUCCCAUAAUCCAUGCCGAAGAGUCGACUUCCUCAACUCUGCAUGAUGCCGAAUCUACUUGAGUAUUUACACACUCAAGGGAGAGUAUUAUAAACAUUGAAUUUAAAUGUGAUUGCGUAAAUCCUAUAUUAGAUUUGAUACUAGCUAUUAUUUCUUAUUAGGACUUGUAUUCCUUGGAGGAGAAAGAUUAUUCCCUCCCUUAUUAUUAUAAAUAAAGGCAUUGUGUAGGGAGAAUAAAACAUCCUCUAUACAACCCUACAAACACAUAUCUCUCCCUACUCUCUCUCUUUGGCGUGCCCCCUCUCUCCCUUGUUAGAUGAAAAUAAGCCACAACAUCAACCCCAUUUUUCAAUCAAGGAUAAUAAUUCUAUUGUCCCUCACGCAGCAAAUAAAGCUUUUUUGGUCCAAGAUCGGACAAUGACACAGUAAUCAAGCGGGGCAUGAACAUUUAAUAAUGGGGUAUGGUAUCCACACACUCUUAUCAAUUUUCGACCAUUGAAUCAAAUAAAUUGAAAAAUAUCAAAUGACAGAAAUUAUUACGAGGUGCGAAUUUGAACCUUUAUGUGUUGGUAGGCUUUCAAGUCAACAAACUAAAAAAAGAUUUGUGAAUAGCACAACCCCUUAAAAAUUCUUCUAGACGAAGUUUCUUAUUAGAUUACAUUUCAAGUAUAACGAAAUGAACCCAUUGCAACUCGAUCAAUCUAAUACUAAUGUUGGUAUGAUAUGAUGCAUUCGAUUUCGGCAUUUUGUACAUUUGAGUUUCACCGUGAAAAUGGUCUAUAUUUUUCUGUCUUGAUCAUCUAUCCGAAUUAAACCACAUGCUCCACUGCUUGUGCAGACUGCAUCAAUUCAUUUGAACUUUUUUCUUGCAAACAUACUUCCAAGGCAGGAACUUAACAGGUCACUAAACUUAAACUCGAAGUUUUUCUUUGAUUAAAAAGAAACCCAAUGCUAUUGGAAUUUCGAAGUGCAGAUUUCAGUUGGUGGAGUAAAAGUAGGUGGGAACACGCGGAAGAUAUUGAUUAGGUAAAGGUUUAGUCCAAAAAAAAAAAAUUAUGUAAAAAUUUAAAAUCUCCAAAGUGGCGAAUCCCAUAAAACGUGUUGCAUUUUCAAUUUUAAUAUUUUAGAAUCAAAGCAAAACCCGUUGAAACAUUCCAAGUGAAAAAAGUUGAUGGAGACCUAAGCAUACACGAAAAAAUUAUUAGUGUAUAGAAUACAGUUGAAGAUGGGUGGAAAACACUGGAAGGUAACGGAGCCCAUAAAACGCGUAGUCUGGAAUACAUUUUUCGUCUAUUGAAAAAUUGCAACAUCUUUGCCAUGAUUUUGUCUGGAAAAAAACAUUUUUCUUUUGUUGAGAUACAAAAUUAAUUUAAACUUUUUAAUGUUAAGCAUGUCCCUAAGAAAAUGACAAAAGAAAAAACACUCUAAACUGGUCUUUGUUUUUUGGGUCAACACACUCGGAACUAGUCUUAGUAGCAAAAUCGAAGUAAAAACUCAUCCCCGAAAUCCACUCUUUCUUCAUCUUUCAGUUUCCUAUCCAACCAAGACACAGUUGUGAGCAUGGCUGAGUUGGUGGGCGGAGCUUUUCUCUCUUCUUUUCUCUCUGUUUUGUUCGACCGGAUGGCUUCCCGUCCCGUCGUCGACUUCAUAUCUGGAAAGAAAAACAACAACGAGCUGCUCAUGAGGGAGUUGAAGAUCAAGCUGCUCACUGCUAACAAGCUGGUCGAUGAUGCCGAGGAGAAGCAGAUGACAAGCCCGACCGUGAGGAAGUGGCUCGACGAUCUCAAAGAUGCUAUCUACUGCGUAGGAGAGUUGCUGGACGAGAUCAACACUGAAGCUCUUC